This 71689-nucleotide long non-coding RNA is filed under the name Sorghum bicolor (sorghum). RNAcentral describes it as "long non-coding RNA (SBIC_LNC017212)". The record is from RNAcentral. Lineage: Eukaryota; Viridiplantae; Streptophyta; Magnoliopsida; Poales; Poaceae.
GACCUGGGAAGUCCUGAGAUAAACUCGGAGACAAAGAGAGAGGCACAUGAAGUUUAACAAUUUACACAAGGAAAGCUUCCACAAGGUGAUAUUGUACCAUCACUCUUCAAGUAAGGUAUCAACUUAAGGUACUUGACUAUUAUCACUUUUAUAAGCUUAUCCUUGGUUCUGACGUUCACAUGAAUAAAAGAGACAAACAUGUAUGAUUUACAACUCUAGAUUAACCAACCCAAUCGAUUCAACAUGUUUAGCCCUUCCACCUUUGUGAUCCCACACUCCUAUUCAUAUGAGCUAAAGUGUUGCACAUUCAAUCUUUGGAAGAUAUAAACAAAACAUAAGUAUAGAUAGAUUAUCUUUCCAUUAGGUUGAGCGAUCUGAUCUGACAAAUAUUUUAAAUACUACACUCAUAAUCUUAUUAUCCAUCAACUUUGUCUUGCUCCCUAUGCUUAAGGUUAGAGAAGAACAAAUACACUUUUGGUUCUGUUGGUGUUUUCCACCAACAGGGCCCAUGCACUUGAUCUCUGCCUUGUCUAUGAGCAGGUACACUUCGAGUAAAAUAUGGACUUUUACAAAUCCCAGACUCCACCUAGUGAAGAACCUAGAUCUACAAGUACAAAUACACUGGAGAUACUGGACACUCAGGCAAUCACUGUCCUGAGAUGCUUAAGAACAUAACUACUGGAGCAACCCUGUUAUGGAAGUAAUUACUGACCUUCUGCCGGUCAAGUGAGACAAUCCAGGACGCCCCGUCAUCCCGAUCCCCAUCGGCAUGGUGGACUUCCCAGAAGCACUCUGCGACUUUGGCUUCAGCGUCAACAUUAUGCCCAGGGUACUCUAUGAAAAAUUCUUUACACAUCCUUUAUCAGAAACAACCAUGGGUUUGCAGCUUGCAGAUCGACACUAAGUUUCCCAAAAGGAAUAUUGAAGCACCUCUGCGUCCGAGUUGGUACCUUGUACGCCCCAGCAGACUUCGUAGUAAUAGAGACUGGUACUGAUGAGAGGGCACUCAUCAUUCUAGGGAGGCCAUUCCUGAACACCUGGGGAGCUGUCAUCUACGCUAGUGCUGCCAAGAUCAGUUUCCACAUCAAAGGGAGAAAGGAGACAUUUUCCUUCAAGAACAAGACUACACAAAUCUUAGAGCAUUCCCGACAUGAACCAACGAAGAGGACCAACAGGAGGAACAGGAACAAGCAAAUGUGGACUGAGUCAGCUAAGAUGGUCACUGCAGCUCAAGGAGGUCAAGAUCGUCAACUCAAGUCGCCUUUCUUGAUCAAGAAGGAUGACCCUAGUGUUCCAAGCAUCGAGUGCACAAUCAACGGAUAUUCUUUUCAGAAGACACUCUACGACACCGGAUCUGACGUCAACAUAAUGGCUGCAGUCACUUAUGAGCUCCUGCAUGGAACCAUGCCCCUACAACCAACAUACAUUCAGAUCAGACAUUCCGAAAGGUUGAAGGUUAUUGACAUGGGAGAAGACGAGUACGAUCCACCAAUCAUCCUUAGAAGACCGUUCUUUAGCACCGUUAAAGCAUUCAUAUACAUUGGAACCAGAGAAGUCCACAUGCAUUUCCCCUCUGAGAAGGUACGCCACUAUUUUACUGACCCUAACUAUAUAGUUGAAGACUCUAAGCAGGUCAGGACAAGAAGAAGACAACACAACCGCAACCAGAGGAGGCAAAUUAUCAAGGAUGGAUGGGCAGACUACGAAGGAGAAGUAGUAAGGCCUGAAGACAUACAGCUUGAACAAAACUGUCUUGAGGAGACCGUAGCACCGAGUCAGGUGUGGAGAGAGAAGAUAGCUAUACACGAAGAGCAGGCGCCGCCGGAACCACCGACUACGCCAUCCAGCGAAUCUCAAGAUGAUUGAGAAAACGAAGAGUCCCGUUCGGAGGACUUAAAAACACCGAACGCCUUGCCAAGAGGUAAACUUGGUAGUUAUCUUUUUCCUUUCAAUUAUUUUAAAAAUAAUCUGCUUAGUUAAUGAGGUUUAUAUCAUCUUAAAAAGAAAAUAAAAAUGUUAAAAAUAGUAAGCCCCAUGUGAGUAUGCUCAUGGCAUAAAACCCAUAAGUACAUUCACUGUGGUGGCGUAAAAAUAAAUAUAUAUUCCUGUCCUAUAAAAAAUGAAAAUAUAAAAAAAGAUUUAUGAUCCUAUUAAAAAGAGUAACAUUUAUUGAGGAGGCUCAACAUGAUAAAGGCUAGAUAUUUAUGUUAACACUUAACUAGUUCCACAAAGCUUUGUUGUCUAUUUGAGCUCCACAGAAUUCAAGAAUCAUAGAAGACUAGCAGACGGAGGACAUCCUAAUCGCUGUCAGGGUGCUGCCGACAUUCAAAUACACCUCCGCCACCUGCUAGCUACAUCAAAAAAAAUUACGUCAAAAUCCAGCUUGGGGGAGAGCACCCCCAUUUGUCCAGCUAAGUGUUCUACUCAUGUUUAUACUUUACUCAAAUAAUAAAAAAAAGAUGCAUAAUCAUAUAAACCCAAAUAAAGAUUUUGUGCUUAUAUAUAUCUUUGCUUAGUUUGCUAAAUAAAUAAAUAAAUAAAGUUUGCUAUGAACCCUCAUGAUAAGCUCUCACAUGGAAAUGAUGAAUAGUUGCUCUGCCAUGACUAGUUCUCAAAAUUGAAAUCUCUCUCAAGUUUAGGCCUAACUGUUAUUAAUUAAGAUUUGCUCUAAACCUGAACUUGUGGGAAGAGUACUUGAUCUGAAGUCUAAGUCGUUAACGGAUAUGAUAUGGGAAGGUUGAGCUGCUGUUUAAAAUGUUGCAUGAUGAGUUCCUGUAUGAUGAGAGUUUAAAUUCCUACCACAGCCAGAUAUACAUGCUUGCUAGACUUUGAGCCACACAUUUACUUUUUACUGCUUAUGAGCAUUGAGUGUGGUCAAGCUGUGUAGACCCUUAGGAGCUUGUCAUGUGGUUAAAAUCAAGAUUCACUUGCACGUUCACUCACACAUGCUACUUCUACUCCGGAAGUACGCAUCCACAUAUAUCCAUCCAUUUCCAUCUCCAGAACCACCCAAAAAUAUUCUACUCCUAAUCCGGGAGAGAAUAGCCAAAAAUAUUCUCCUAUUUAUGUUUUUCCCUGUGUGAAAUAAAUGCUCAAGUUAUCUUGUUACUACCACUUACUAUAUUAUCUCAUGAGAUGAGUGCUCUAAUAAAAAAAAAGAAGAAAAAAAAUAAGAUACGAGGAAAUAAAAAGGGGCAAGUGCCCGGAACCUCGAAAGAAAAAAAAGUGAGACGAGAGGUAAAAAUGGACAAGUGUCCGACAGUAGAAUUAGGGGUACAAGAUACCCACCAGAGAGAAAAAAAAAGAAGAAAAUAUAGAGCAUCUCAUUCUCCCCAAAUGUUUCAAAAGAGCAAGGAAGGUAUGUAUCCCCUCAAAAGAGCACAAGUAGAAUUAGACUUUCACCAUUGUUAGCACCAUCAUCACCAUUGUUAUCACCAUUCAUUCGCCACACAUGCACAUCUUGAUUUGACUUAUUGACUUGUUCUUCUGGAUCCAUGGUUUGACUAUGCAAUAAAUGUCUUGUAAGUAUGUAUUAGCUGUCUCCCACCUAUGAGCUCCAGAUAUCAAAAGCCUUAUUAGAGUAGGGUGAGAGGAAGGCAAUGUCACUAUGCCUCAUACCAAAAAUACCACAUACUUUGAGAGAAGGCAUACACCUUUAAUGCCUUGGUAAGGAUCCAGAAAUACCACAAAUGAGAGAUUAGAGAGAGUCAUACAAGGAAUCUCUGAGUUUUAUUUGAAAAUCUGCAAAAACUCCAGAGCUAUAGCUGAUCAAGAAUAAGAGACAUGGUGCUUGACUAGACCAUUCUAUCUUUUAACUACUCAAGACAGAAGUGACGGUUACAAGUCCCAUGGUGAAAGGUAAAUGAGUAAGUUUUAAGUCUUAACAGUUCACUCUAACCAGAGAUGAGAUUUUGUUUAAACGCAUGUGUAUCCUUAAGUUAUGAAACCACUGCAGAAACUCUUGAGUUCAUCUUUGCUCAGGGACGAGCAAAGGUUAAGCUUGGGGGAGCUUGUUGACGGUCCUUAAUGCUCACAUUUAACCAUCAACUAAUCAUAGAAAAGGAUCCAAAGGCAACCAACACUUAGACUUAGGGUUUUAUCUGACAGAAUUCCACGAGUUUUGGUGUUUGUCUAUUUCUGCAGGGGGUUAUCAGGAAAUACGGAAGAAAGGCCCACACGUCGGGUUUACAUAGAGAUAUUAACGUGCCGCGCAAUUUUCUAUCAUCUAGAAGACUCCAGAAGCCACGGGACCGAAGCGGAAGCCGAGAGGCCUCAGGGACAGGGCGCCCGCCCUAGUCCUGAGGGCGCCCGCCCACCUCUUUCCACCAAUCAGGGUGAAGUUCGGGGAUCAUGCUCCACCGACCUAAUACUUCAAGGUAAACCACACGAUCAAUGUCGGUUUGAUCCGACGGCCCAGAUUCACUUAAAGGGACUAUAAAACCAGACCCCCCUGGCCCCUGGAGAUCAUACCUCUUCUACAGAAUCAAAGUUAGGGUUUCAAUUCUUCAUCCAAGUAGAGAGGAUCCCUCUAGUUCUUCUAGUUCUACCUCUAGUUCAUCUAGAUCUAGUUCUAGUUCAUCUAGUUCUAGUUCUAGUUCCUCUAGUUCUAGUUCUAGUUAGUUCUAGUUGUAAUCUAGAAAAUAGGGAGAGAGAAGAGGAGAGCGGAGGAGGAGGAGCCGGAUCUGUCGGAUCUUCCUCAACAUUGUACUUUUGCAGCAACUGGUUCGUUCUUCAUCGUUCUCCAGGUUCUUCAAUUCAUAACUCCUGAGUUCUUUAAUUACUUUUAUUUAUAUUCAAGUUAUUUAUUGGAUUCCCGCUUGCAUCAAGUGCUCUAAUCUUUGAAACAUUAGAGUAGUAAUUAAUAGAUUAGACGUGGUGUUUAGUCUUGCAAUUACCUGGAAUUGCACCCAAUCCUGCGGAUUGUUGUGGUAGCCUUAGAGUAGUGACAGCCCUAACGGUCGACGUAUUCCACCUCGUUCGGAUCGGUGUUUGUAGGACCGUAGUCGGAGCUUCCUAGCCCCCUUCUCAUCUCUUUCUGUGGUUAGUGUUCCGAUAUAGAUAAUCUUGAAGUAAUUCUUGAUUCUUAGAUCAACUAGAGAACUCUCAGGAAACUUCCUCUCUUCUCACCAAAAAUAAUUAUAUUGUUAUCCUUGGGCGAUCUUGGAUCUUAAUUAGUACACUCACGUUCUCUGUGGAAAAUCGAUACUCUGGAAUACUCCCGGGUGAAGGCUACAUCGGUAUCCGUGCGCUUGCGGAUUUUUCUGUUUGCGUUUAAAAUACCCAACAGAUAACAACAUUGAUAUAAAUUCCUAUCUGUCACGAGUGACAGAUAAUCACUCGACUUCUACCGGAGAUCCUAUAGCAUAGCAAGCUACACGUUCCUGUCAUUCUAGUAGACUUAUAGGAUAAAGUUAUAUGCAAGUGGGUUUCAUUCAACUCCUUAAACUUAAUGUACAAGCAUAAAGUAAAGUGUAGAAUAAUAGGGGUUAUGAACUAGGGCUUGCUUGGGUAACUUAUAACCAAGUUAGCAUCUCAUCAUAGCAACACGAUCAUCAAGGCACAUCUUUUGGUUACUCCAGAUGACUCCAUGAUCUAGCAUGUGUCUAUUAUGAUAUUUGCAGAGACAAUCAUAGAAACGUAAAUAAAUAAUGGAAAUCACAACUUAAUACAAAUUCGCCUCUCAUGCUAACGAACUAGGUCAACGACUAACGUACUAGGCUGCGGAUCCACGUUGUUGAGCUAAACGAUAAUUCCAGACAAAACCUGAAACGCUGUUUACUCUAUGUUACUUAUUUAUAAUAUAUAUCCAUAUUAGGGUUCAUCAAGCAUCCUGACCAACUAAUUAUUUUGGAGCUACAAAAAUUAUAGAGAGUGUAUAUUAGUAUUUCAAAGCUACUGCAAAAGUUUCAUGGCCAACACUAUCAUCAUCUUAUCACCAAAAUUCUUGCAAGUUUAUAUAUCAUCACUUUUAAGCACUUUAAUUUAAUUAGAGAACUACUGAAAAUGUUGAGAAAGUAUGUGAACUAGUUAUAUGUUGACAGUCGAUAACGUCAACUUUUAUUAGAGCUUUAGACCCAAAGGAGAACAUGAAAACACACUAGUGUAGGGUUUAAACUGACAAUUUCCACUAGUAAUCGCAAUCAUUUCCAUUCCAUGUUUAUCAAUCAUGUUUUUCUCCUACACUGGGAGUAAACACCAACAUAAACCAUACCCAUAGGAUAAAGCCCAUCAUAAAUGCCCUAAGUUCUUAUUAUUACCUCUCUAAUCAUUUAUUGUAUUCAAAGGAUACAUGUGGCUAUGCAAAAAUAUAAAAGAAGAAAAGGGAGUAAAAGAUGGACAAGUGUCCUAGUAAUUAAAACAAUGGGUACUAGAUGCCCGCCUCCCUGAAUAAAAAAAUAAAGAUAGCCCAUGUCUUUCCUGAAAAGUUUCAAUAGAGAGGUGCUCCCAAAGAAAUAUAAAUUAGCCACAAAUACCACAAAUGCACCGAUCCACCAUAUUCCAUACACAUGCACAUCUUGGUUUGAUUGUAUGCCUCGAUUCUCUAUGGAUCCAUUAGUUGACUUUAUAAUACAUGCAUUGCAAGUAUGCCUAUCCUUGAUAUUGACACUCCUAUAAGCUCUAGGAUAUAUACCUUUAGCUAUAGGAGGCAUAACAUCAUUAAUGCCUCAAGUGAGAACUAUAAAUACCACAUACAUUGAGAGACUUGAGGGUGUCAUACAAUUAAGCUCUGAGUUUUAUUGAAAAACUUAUAAAAAACUCCAGAAUAAUGGUUCUGCAAAGAAUUUGAGACAUAGUGCUUGACCUGAUUGUUCUGUCUUCUGAUUGCUCAAGACUCAUGCAAAAGCUGUAAAGCCCCAUGGUUAAAGGUAAAACGGGUAAGUUUGAAGAUUAGAGCAGUUAUUAACUAAUCCGGAGGAGAAUCGUGUUUAGGAGCAUGUGUACUUGGAAAGAAUGAAAGCAUUGUAGCAACUCCUGAUCCAAAUAUAUAUACUACUUAGGCUUGGUUUGCCAAGGGACUGGCAAAAGGUAAGCUUGGGGGAAUUGUUGACGGUCGAUAACGUCAACUUUUAUUAGCUUUAGACCCAAAGGAGAACAUAAAAACAUAAUAGUCUAGGGUUUAAACUGACAAUUUCUACGAGUUUUGCAUAUUCUGUAUUUUCCAGGGUCUAUUUUUAGAAAAGCUGAAAAGAGGGAUUCAAGUGCAAAAUAAACACGAAACUUAUCCGCCACGGAAAGGUCACAAUUGGGACAUGGGAAUACUUUGGAAGACACCCAAAGAUAUGGGGGGCCAGAGGCCGCCAGGUGGGGCUGGCUGGCCCCACCCUAGCACUGGCCGAUGCCCUAAUGUUAGGGUUUUGGCCCCCUUCUGGAAGCUUCCUCCACCGGGCUAUAAAUAAAGGGGCAGACCCCCCUCCCUAGAGGCAUCAAGUCAUUUGGAGAUCAAUCCAUCAAGAGCCUUCUCUAGUUCAUCAGAGCCUCUCUAGUUCAUAGAUUUGGCCUAGUUAGAUUAGAAGUAGAAGAGUUCUAGUUCUUCAGCGGGAUCCGGAGCCCCUGGUGUCUGUCUGGAGCGCGGAGUUUGGUAUUGUUCUAGUACUUUUCUCUUAUUGUAUUCAAUAUUAAGAUUUGGAAAACAUUGUUCUUAAUCUCUUAUAUAAUUGCAAUAAUCAUUGUCUACUUUGAUUAUAUGUCUAGGACAGUUGGUUUGGUCUUAUUGAAUUCAUGUAAGUGCUCGUAUAGCCUUUACCUAAUUGAUCGUUGGGUAGAUGGUAGACAAUAUGUAGACGUGGUGUCUAGAUAUCUUGUUUAUCUGUGAGUGCACCCUGACGUGCCGGGAUGUGUGGUAGAUCGCACAGGUGAUAACUGUGUUGGAUCCUCUGUACUCCACCCUCCGUACGUAGGACUAGCAUGGGCGCGGUCACGAAGGAGGUGACCCUUGUAUCUUAAUACCCUCAUUAGUUGAUGCCUCUUUACAUGUGAUUAUGAUAUAGGGUUGACUUAACAAUAAUUUCUAGAUGUAAUUGCACUAAUUAGAGUUAUUCAUAGAUGUAGUUAUAGAAUUACCUUAGUAUUUAUUCCUGAGUUUAUCCAUUGGCUAGCUAUUACUACGACUAGAAGAGCUCUCAUAUUUAUCUUUUUAUGAUGACUGAUCAUUAUUUAUCUUAUAUCUUUUAUCAAGUGACCUACCCCUAUUAUGAGUAGGAUUCUAGUGAUGGUUUAACGUUCGCAUAAAUAGUAUAAGUUAUAGUUAUAAGUCCUACAUAUAGACCUUCCCUGUGGAUACGAUAUUUAAAACCCCCCGGGUAAAAUGUGACAUUGGUAUGAUAUCUGUGCGCUUGCGGAUAAUCUUACUUAAAUCUUAUUUAAAGAAGUACAAUUAAUUUAUACCAAUAAGCAUUUUUGGCGCCGUUGCCAAGGAAGGUAGCUAGGCAAUUAAGGAACAUUGAUAGACUUAUACUCAAUUAUGUGAUAGAGAUAACCAUUAACCCCUGCUCAAGUAGGAUUACCCUUGUUUGUCUACUUUUAUAUCUUAUGCAUGGUAAUAAACGACCGGUUUACGACCUUCUGGCAUGCCCCCACAAAAUAAGAAGAUACAUAACAAAUCCAAUGUUGGAGAAAGAGGUCGACGUCACAGGACUUUAAUUCAUAUCUCAAGUGACGGAAACAAAGAUGUUGCAUCACUCACAAAUUCUAGAAUGUGAGUCAUGGUAAGUAUGAUCAAAUAAAGGUGACACAGUCUUGCUCAUGGACUUCCACAAUUAUGAGUAGUUAUCUUUUACAUUCCACUGCAUGUUUACAUUAAUCCAUAUAUUCACACUAUUUAGUUUAAAUUUCCUCAGCCCUAACUUGUUCCAUUUCAUAUAUUCAUCUCACAUGUAUUAUAAAAAAAUCACCAUGAUCAUGCUCUUUUAUCUCUAUCUGAAAUCUCUACUAUAUUUUCAUGUUACCUUUAUUUGCUAUGAUAUAUAUUUAGGCUUUGCAGCACUUUCAUAAAUCUCUUAAAUGAAGCAUGGUGCUUAGUUUUGGAGUGGUGGUUUUACUUUUAAAAGGCUUUUAAACCGAGCUCAAAUUAAAAUGCCUUCCUAAGUCAAAUUAGACGUGGUGUCUAGGUUGAUUUUUGAGCUGAUAGUAUGUUAUAGUGGAUACUGGAUAUUUUGUUGGACUAACCCCUACAAGAAAAUUUUGAAUUAAAUCUAGGAAAGUCUAGAGAUAAGUUCACACUGGGGAUGAAUCAAGGCAGAUAAUAACUUUGCACAAAAAGUCCAACUUGAGAGUAGUAAUAUUUAUUCUUUUAUCUUUUGUUACAAGUUAUCUUUGCCUUGAACCAUGCUAGAUUGCAACAACAACAUAAAACACAAUAGACACAAUUUAUGCUAAAUAAUCUUAAACCAUAUAUCAUGUUGAUUAGCAUAGAAGAAAAUCACAACAAAGUAUGGACAACAAAACCCGUAUUUCAAUCUUGCUAUUCCAUCUGGUAUGUGUCCAUUAACAUUUUGCAUGAAAGAACAACCUUAAUAUAUUGGAGAAGAAGUUUUCAAAUAAGCAUUAUCACAUCUCCAAUAGACCCCAACUCAUCAACCACAAAUUAGUCAAAGAAAUCAGAAAAAAAGUUGAUGAGUGAAGAGCAUGUAAUCUUCUAUAGUUUCAUUGAAUGGUGAAAAGGCGAAAAAGAUAAAAGGAAGGUCUUGCUCAGCAAGACCGUAAGCUCUCACCAACAGAUGAACCCAAACCCUCCUCUUCCAAGUAAGUUUGUCAUCACUUACUUAGAAAGAUGAAGAUAUGAGGUAUGUUUGUCCAAGCCUCAUGCAACAUGUAACUACAAUUAACAUCUGAUACCAUGUUGCUAAUUUGUCUUGGUCACUUCUACCCUAUGCUAUGCUCAAACAUAACUUGCUAAAAUAUAUAUAAUAAAAUACUCCUGUGGUUCACCAUACAUAAUCUUGAUUCUAUGUGAAUAAAUACCUUUAGUCUUGCAAACUUCCUUAUUCUAUUAUAAGCAUGAUUUAGAAUAUUACUUAAACAUUAUGAAAAUCAAGCAUACUUAUAUAAGAAUUUAGUUGUACAUAUAGACUAACCCCUCCUACAUAAAAAAUGUUUAAAUCAUAUUAGGAGACUAUUCAUAGAAUCAAUUCAAGGUUAAGGGUAUGCUUCAGAAUAAUAUCUUUGCUUUAACCUUGAUGAAAAAAAUUGUAUCAUUGAAAACAUGAGCUACAAAUCAAUCUUUAACUCUUAGGCAAACACUAUCCAUACUUUGAUAAAUAGUAUAUUCCUUCGGGUACGUGUUCUCCACUAACCCCUUGCAGAAAAGACAUAAUGAGAGAAGUAGAAGGUCUCAAGAGUGAGAAAAGAGUACAACAUACGAGACAAGAUGCUAAUGAAUAACCCAUGAUACAAUAAAAAAAGAGAGACCAUUGAAACUCAUCAUGCUCUAAUGGAGGUAACAUCUUAAGAUAAGUGGUCAUUAAUUUCCUCUUAAUCUUGGUAUGCAAUAAAUGAAAAUACAACCAUGCCAGAGUUACAACUUAAAUUGAUCAACCUGAUUAAACUCAACAUGAUUUGUUCUCUGAGUUUGUUCAUAGCGCUAUUCUUGUAAUCUCAGUCUUAACCGAGUAAGCUAGAAAUACUUCAUCUAUAAUUCUUGAUAUAUUAUUGUUGACGGUCCUUAAGUAUCAAAUUUAAUUAUCAAAUAAAUAAAGAAUAGGAUCCAAAUGAAAUCAACAUCUAGACUUAGGGUUUUAUCUGACAGAAUUCCACGAGUUUUGGUGUUUGUCUAUUUUUGCAGGGGGUUAUCAGGAAAUAAGGAAGAAAGACCCACACGUCGGGAUUACAUAGAGAUAUUAAUGUGCCGUGCAAUUAUCUUACAUCUAGAAGUCUCCAGAAGCCACGGGAAGGAAGCGGAGGCCGAACGGGGCCAGGCACUGGGCGCCCGCCCAGUUGACCUGGGCGCCCGCCCCCUCGUGGAGUCCAAACAGGACUCUCUUUCGGGAAAGAUCUCCACCGACCUAAAGAUCAAGGAUAACCGUUCAAUCAAUGUCGGUUUGAUCCAACGGCCCAUAUUCACUUGAAGGGACUAUAAAACCAGACCCCCUGGCCCCUGGAGGAGAGAGCCUCUCAACCCUAAUUCAUUAUUCCUCAAGGGAGAAGAAGCCCCUGAUCAAGAUUAGAGCCACCACAUCAAUUAGAUAUCUAGAUUAGCAUAGCUACAUAGGAUUAGAACUCGAAGGAGUCAAUCUUCGAUUGGUUUCCGGAUCUGUCAAGAGGAUUCUUGGUAAUUCUCUAAUUGUGCUUCUAAUUGUUCUUCUAAUCAUCUUUGUUCUUCAAUAUUAUGAAUAUGACUUUGUUCUACUUCAAUAUAUUGCUUAUGACUUUGCUCUACUUGUUUAUAUUCAAGAUUAUAUUGUUCUUAGUUUAUCAUAGUUAUAUACUUGGCUUAGUUAGAUUGGAUCUAUAUACAUGUUUAGGAUCGUAUAGCGUUUAUCCAUCGGAUCCAUGGGUAAAUGAUAGAUAUUGUGUAGGCGUGGUGCUUAUACCGUAUUUAUCUGCAAUUGUACCCAAUAUGCCAGAUCGCGGGGUAGUUCGUGAUAGUGACAGCUUCAUUGAUUCUUAUAUAGUCUCCCUCUCGUGUAUUGGGCUGGCAGAGCAACAUUAUUACAGGGGACUGAUUGCUAUGUUUCUCAUAUUCAUUGCUAAUAUCACUAUGCAUGGGCGUAGUCUUGUCUCACAAUGAUUGCUAAGUAUACUUGCACUAACUAUGAUAAUGCUAGACUAUAUAGUUGAGAGUAACUUAGGAAAUAUUCUUGUAGUUCGUUCUAAUUCCAUGCUAAUGACUUUAUAGAGUAUCUAAUUUAGGUGCUUAUCAUAUUUAUUAUGUGGCUAAGAUAUGCUGAUCAGAUUAAUUAUCUUUGUCACUAUUCAUUACUUCAUAUAUCUUUUAUGUGACACUUACCUCUGUAUGAAAGAGUUAGAUAAAUGUUCUCAAUUAUACAUGCAAUGAUAGAUACUCAAUCUCAUUUUCUAUUCUAUAAUCAAUAUUGAUGGUUGCUAAUCCCUUCCCAGUGGUAAAAAUAUAAAUAACGAUACCUGGAAUACUUCCCGGUUAAAAUGCUACAUCGGUAUUAAUUUGUGCGCUUGCAGAUCCCAUUCAUUAUUUAUUUAGAAGAGCAAUUGCAUAUUUCAAUACCACGUCUCACAUGUCAUGCUGGGGAUGACAACUUGGCUUAAGUGGUAUGAGGGAUAGGUUUGGCAUUUUUGGCACCGUUAUCAGAAUUAGAGAACUAAGUCUACUUUUGGUAUUGAUGUUAAGAAUACCCAACAAGCAUUUUUGGCGCCGUUGCCAGGGAAGGUUGAUUACUAAUCAGGAAUGGAUGUAGAAUUUUGAGUUAUUAUUUGCAUCACUAAUGUGAUUGAGCUUAUUUAUUCUCCCAUACAGUUUUACCCUGAUAUUUUUCUAUUUUAUCUUAUGCAGGGGAAUGCAUGAAUAGAAGACAUCUUCCAGAAAAUUUUGUUGACAAUCCCGAAGCAUUAUUUAGAAAAACAAGAGCCAAGCUCAAGAAGAGAUCAUCAACACUUCAGCAAGAAACUUCAUCCAAUCAAGAAGAUCAUCGAAACUUGUCUUCAGAGUUCGAAGCCAUGGCGAACAAAUCAAUCCGCGAGUUUUCAGCUCCCACUACGGACAACAUCCGCACUGGACCUGCUUCAGAGAUCGAUGGCAACUUUGAGCUCAAGCCUAGACUUAUCAACAUGGUGCAAUCCAACCAGUUCUAUGGGAAGGCACACGAAGAUGCUAGUGCUCAUCUCCAACACUUCGUGGAGAUUUGCAGCACAUUCACCAUAUCAGGAGUCCCCAGAGAUGCUAUACUACUUCGCCUCUUCCCAUUCUCACUGUUAGGAAGAGCGAAGCAGUGGUUCUACGCUAUAAAGGAGAAGAAUACUAUGUGGGCACUCUGCUCCACGAACUUUCUGGCUAAGUUCUUUCCCAUGGGCAAGACCAAUGCUCUCCGUGGGAAAUUACAAGUUUUCAUCAACAAAAUGAUAAAUCUGUUCCAGAAGCAUGGGAGCGCUUCCAAGACUAUAUCCUAGAAUGUCCCCAUAAUGGAAUGGAGAGUUGGCUACUGAUGCAGACGUUUUAUCUUGGGCUCGGCAACAGUGCCCGAGAAACCAUGGAUGCUGCAGCUGGAGGAGCAUUCUUAUCACUCACGAUAUCACAAGCCACAGCUCUUGUGGAGAAGAUGGCAUCCAACCAAAGCUGGAAUGAAGAGAGGACCCAGACACGCAAGAGAGGUGGAGGUAUGCAUCAGCUCAAGGAGGUAGACAUGCUGUCUGCAAAGCUAGACCUGCUCAUGAAGAAGCUCGAUGAUAGAGCUAGAGAUAAGAAAGAAGUUAUGCACAUCUACGAGUCUCACAUGACUUGUGAGGAGUGUGGAGACACUGGACACUCAGGCAAUCAUUGCCCUGAGAUGCUUGAGGAUGUGAACUACAUCAUCAACAACAACAACUACUACUACAACCGUCCUCAACAAAAUCAAGGUUGGAAUCACAGAGGCCUAACUACUCAGGUAAUUAUCAAGGUAACAAUUCUUCCAACAAUAAUAAUAAUUUUCCACCUCUGAGAGAGUUAGUGUCUAAUCAAGGAAAGCUAAUGAAUAACCUAUCUAAGAAAUUGACAUCUAAUGAUAAAAUGCUAGAAAAUAUAAAUAAUAGAAUGGAUAAUUUCUCUUAUGCCAUCAAGAAUCAAAUUAGCUUUAAUAAAAUGAUUGAAUCUGAGUUAAAUCAAAUAGCUAAUCCUGUUCCUGCUACUAACCCCGGUAUACCAUCACAACCGGAAGGAUUAGAAUCUGCAAAUCUUGUAGACAUGUUUGAUGCAGGUAAUUGGAGUAACCCCGUCACUAAAGUUACUACUGACCUUCUGCCGGUCAAGAGAGGUGAUCCAGGACGCCCCGUCAUCCCGAUCUCCACUGGCAUGGUGGACGUCCCAGAAGCACUCUGCGACUUUGGCUCUAGUGUCAACAUUAUACCCAGGGUACUCUAUGAAAAAUUCCUUACAUAUCCUUUAUUAGAGACAACCAUGUGUUUGCAGUUUGCAGAUCAGGCGUUAAGUUUUCCAAAAGGAAUAUUGAAGAACCUUAUGUCCGAGUUGGUACCUUAUAUGCCCUAGCAGACUUCAUGGUGAUAGAGACCAGUAAUGAUGAGAGAGCACCCAUCAUCUUAGGGAGGCCAUUCUUAAACACCUUGGGAGCUGUCAUCUACGCUAGUGCUGCCAAGAUCAGUUUCUACAUCAAAGGGAAGAAGGAGACAUUUUCCUUCAAGAAUAAGACUACACAAAUCCUAGAUCAAUCCAGACGUGAAUCAAGGAAGAGGACCAACAGGAGGAAUAGGAAUAAGCAAGUAUGGACCGAGUCAGCUAAGAUGGUCACUGCAGUUCAUGGAGGUCAAGAUCACCAACUUAAGUCACCGUUUCUAACCAAGAAGGAUGACCCAGGAAUGCCAAGCAUCUAUUGCUCCAUAAAUGGAUAUAACUUCUACAAGACGACUUGCGACACCGGAUCGGGCGUCAACAUAAUGGCCGCAGUCACCUAUCAGCUCUUGUUUGGAACCAUGCCCUUAAAACCAACAUACAUUCAGCUCCAGAUGGCAGAUCAGACAUUUCGAGAAGUUAAAGGAACAGUAACUGAUGUCCCAGUCAAAAUAGACGACCAUUUUGUCUACACAGACUUUCAGGUUAUUGACAUGGGAGAAGACGAAUACGAUCCACCCAUCAUCCUUGGAAGACCGUUCCUCAGCACCGUUAAAGCAAUCAUCUACAUUGGAACUGGAGAAGUCCAUAUGCACUUCCCUUCAGAGAAGGUACGCCGCUACUUUACUGACCCCUAACUAUAUCGUUGAAGAAUCUAAGCAGGUCAGAAAGCGACGUAACCACAACCAGAGGGGGCAGAUCAUCAAGGACGGAUGGGCAGAUUAUGAAGGAGAAGUAGUAAGGUCAGAAGACAUACAGUUUAAACAGAACUAUCCUGAGGAGACCGAAGCACCAAGUCAGGUGUGGAGAGAGAAGAUAACUAUACAUGAAGAGGAGGCACCGCCGGAAGUACCGACUCCGCCACCCAACGAAUCCCAGGACAACUAGAAAACGGAGAGUCCCGUUCGGAGGACUUAAAAACACCGAACACCUUGCCAAGAGGUAAACUUGGUAGUUAUCCUUUCCCUUUCAAUUAUUUUAAAUGGUUUACUUAAUUAGUUAUAUUCAUACUAUCCUAAAAAGAAAAUAAAAAUGUUAAAAAAACAGUAAGCCCCAUGUGAGUAUACGAGUGGCAUAAAACCCAUAAGUACAUUCACUGUGGUGGCAUAAAAAAAAUAAAUAUUUUUCUGCUUUAUAAAAGGAAAAUAUAAAAAUAGAGAGUAAUAUUGAGGAGACUCAACAUGAUAAAGGCUAGAUACUUAUGCUAACACUUAAUCAGUUCCACAAGCUUUGUUGUCUAUUUGAGCUCCACAGAAUUUAAGAAUCAAGAAGACUAGUAGACGGAGGACAUUCUAAUCGUUGUCAGAAUGCUGCUGACUUUCAAAUACACCUCUGCCACCUGCUAGCUACAUCAAGAGAAAUUAAGUCAAAAUUCAGCUUGGGGGAGAGCACCCCCAUUUAUCCCGAUAAGUAUUUCUAUCUAUCUUUAUACUUAUACUAUAUUAAAAUAUAAAUAUACAUUACUAUGGAAAACUAAAUAAAGAUUUUAUGCUUAUAUAUAUAUAUCUUUUGCUUAGUGUGUUUAAUAAAUAAAUAAAGUGGCUAUGCUAAACUGGAUUCUAAUAAAUAAAACUCUAGCAUGGGUAUGAUGAAUAGUUGCUCUGCCUAAUUUGCAAAUUUGAAGUUCUCUCACUAGUUUAGAUAUAACUGUUAUAAUUUAAAGCUUGCUCUAAACCUAAACUUGUGGGAUGAAAACUUGAUCUGAAGUCUAAGUUGUUAACGGAUAUGAUAUGGAAAGGUUGAGCUACUGUUUAUCUGUUCCUAGAGAUGCUAGAAUUCUGGAGAAUUUUAUCUUUUAAAAACUUUAAAAUAAUGCAUGAUGAGUUCCUGUAUGAUGAGAGUUUAAAUUCCUACCACAGCCAUAUAUACAUGUUUGCUAGACUUUGAGCCACACAUUUACCUUUUUACUGCAUAUGAGCAUUGAGUGUGGUCAAGCUGUGUAGACCCUUAGGAGCUUGUCAUGUGGUUAAAUCAAGAUUCACUUGCACGUUCACUCAUACAUGCUACUUCUACUCCGGAAGUAGCAUCCACAUAUAUCCACCCAUUUCCAUCUCCAGAACCACCCAAAAAUAUUCUACUCCUAAUCCGGGAGAGAAUAGCCAAAAAUAUUUCUGUUUUCCCCUGUGAAAUAAAUGCUCAAGUUAUCUUGUUACUACCACUUGCUAUAUUAUCUCAUGACAUGAGUGCUCUAAAAAAAAGGAUACGAGGAAAUAAAAAGGGGCAAGUGCCCGGAACCUCAAAAGAAAAGAAAAAAAUGAGACGAGAGGUAAAAAUGGACAAGUGUCCGACAGUAGAAUUAGGGGUACAAGAUACCCACCUGAGAGAAAAGAAAAAGAAGAGCAUCUCAUUUUCCUCUCAAAGUUUCAAAAAGCAAGAAAGGUAUGUAUCCCCUCAAAAGAGCAAAAGUAGAAUUAGACUUUCACCAUUGUUAUCACCAUCAUCACCAUACACCAUUCAUUCGCCACACAUGCACAUCUUGAUUUGACUUAUUGAUUUGUUUCUUUGGAUCCAUGGUUUGACUAUACAAUAAAUGUCUUGUAAGUAUGUAUACUUUAUCUCCCACCUAUGAGCUCGAGAUAUUAAAGCCUUAUUAGAGUAGGGUGAGAGAGAAGGCAAUGUCACUAUGCUUUAUACCACAAAUGCCACAUAUCUUGAGAGAAGGCAUAUACCACCACUGCCUUGGUAAGGAUCCAGAAAUACCACAAAAGAGAGAUCUAAGAGAGUCAUACAAGGAAUCUCUAAGUUUUAUUUGAAAAUCUGCAAAAACUCCAGAGCUAUAGCUGAUCAAGAAUAAGAGACAUGGCACUUGACAAGACUGUUCUAUCUUUUAACUACUCAAGACAGAAGUGACGGUUACAAGUCCCAUGGUGAAAGGUAAAAUGAAUAAGUUUUAAGUCUUGACAGUUUACUCUAACCUAGAGAUGAAAUUAUAUUUAAAAAGCAUGUGUACCGUCAAUUUUUAAAGGUAUUGCAACAACUUAUGAUCCAUUGCUGAGAUUAUCCUUGCUCAGGGACGAGCAAGAGGUAAGCUUGGGGGAGUUUGUUGAUGGUCCUUAAGUAUCAAAUUUAAUUAUCAAAUAAAUAAAGAAAAGGAUCCAAAUGAAAUCAACAUCUAGACUUAGGGUUUUAUCUGACAGAAUUCCACGAGUUUUGGUGUUUGUAUAUUUUUGCAGGGGGUUAUCAGGAAAUAAGGAAGAAAGGCCCACACGUCGGGAUUACAUAGAGAUAUUAACGUGCCGCGCAAUUAUCUUACAUCUAGAAGACUCCAGAAGCCACGGGAAGGAAGCGGAGGCCGAACGGGGCCAGACACUGGGCACCCACCCAGUUGACCUGGGCGCCCGCCCCCUCCUGGAGUCCAAACAGGACUCUCUUUCGGGAAAGAUCUCCAUCGACCUAAAGGAUCAAGGAUAACCGUUCAAUCAAUGUCGGUUUGAUCCAACGGCCCAUAUUCACUUGAAGGGACUAUAAAACCAGAGCCCCUGGCCCCUGGAGGAGAGAGCCUCUCAACCCUAAUUCAUUAUUCCUCAAGGGAGAAGAAGCCCCUGAUCAAGAUUAGAGCCACCACAUCAAUUAGAUAUCUAGAUUAGCAUAGCUACAUAGGAUUAGAACUAGAAGGAGUCAAUCUUCGAUUGGUUUCCGGAUGUGUCAAGAGGAUUCUUGGUAAUUCUCUAAUUGUGCGUCUAAUUGUUCUUCUAAUCAUCCUUGUUCUUCAAUAUUAUGAAUAUGACUUUGUUCUACUUCAAUAUAUUGCUUAUGACUUUGCUCUACUUGUUUAUAUUCAAGAUUAUAUUGUUCUUAGUUUAUCAUAGUUAUAUACUUGGCUUAGUUAGAUUGGAUCUAUAUACAUGUUUAGGAUCGUAUAGCGUUUAUCCAUCGGAUCCAUGGGUAAAUGAUAGAUAUAAUGUAGGCGUGGUGCUUAUACCGUAUUUAUCUACGAUUGUACCCAAUAUGCCAGAUCGCGGGGUAGUUCGUGAUAGUGACAGCUUCAUUGAUUCUUAUAUAGUCCCCCUCUCGUGUAUUGGGCUGGCAGAGCAACAUUAUUACAGGGGAGUGAUUGCUAUGUUUCUCAUAUUCCUUACUAAUAUCACUAUGCAUGGGCGUAGUCUUGUCUCACAAUGAUUGCUAAGUAUACUUGCACUAACUAUGAUAAUGCUAGACUAUAUAGUUGAGAAUAACUUAGGAAAUAUUCUUGUAGUUCGUUCUAAUUCCAUGCUAAUGACUUUCUAGAGUAUCUAAUUGAGGUACUUAUCAUAUUUAUUAUGUGGCUAAGUUAUACUGAUCAGACUAAUUAUCUUUGUCACUAUUCAUUACUUCAUAUAUCUUUUAUGUGACACUUACCUCUGUAUGAAAGAGUUAGAUAAAUGUUCUCAAUUAUACAUGCAAUGAUAGAUACUCAAUCUCAUAUUCUAUUCUAUAAUCAAUAUUGAUGGUUCCUAAUCCCUUCCCAGUGGUAAAAAUAUAAAUAACGAUACCUGGAAUACUUUCCGGUUAAAAUGCUACAUCGGUAUUAAUCUGUGCGCUUGCAGAUCCCAUUCAUUAUUUAUUUAGAAAAGCAAUUGCAUAUUUCAAUACCGCGUCUCUCAUGUCAUGCUGGGGAUGACAACUUGGCUUAAGUGGUAUAAGGGAUAGGUUUGGCAUUUUUGGCACCGUUACUAGAAUUAGAAAACUAUCUACUUUUGGUAAUGAUGUUAAGAAUACCCAACAACUGUCAAGAGGAACUCAAAGUACUCAAUAAACCACUGCAAGGAGAAGUUCAGUUCGAAGGACUAAAAACAUAAAACUCUCGCCGUAAGGUAACAACGGUAGCUAUCUAUAUCUACUUCCUUACAUUGUAUGAGUUAAUUUCUCUUUAGUAUGUUUACUUUUCUAUAUUGGCAAUGCAUAGAAAUAACAAAGAUAAAUAGUUUUGCAUUAGGCUACAUUCAUGCAUCUUAAAAAAAUAUUAAGCUCCAUGUGAAACCCUUGUAGUGUAAAAGCUGUAGGAGUUCUCACUGUGGUGGCCUAUAGAAGAAAAAUAUAUAUCAUGCAUUUGCACUUUAUGCAUAUAAACCCAUAAAAUCCAAAAAUAUUAACUGAGCAUCCUGCUGCAAUACUGCUGUCUUAAAAAUACUUUGAAACCACCACAACACCCAAUCCUCUAAAAACGGUAAUCAUUAACGUUUUAUCCUAAUACCGUUCCACGAGUUUUGGUGUUUUGUGAGAGCUUUCUGCAGGAUGACUCUAAGAGCCAGCUUACCUAGGAAUCUUCAUCUUCAUCACUUGAAUUAUACCUUUCUGACACACAGCUGACCCCUAUAUGAAUGAAGUAACUUCUUGGGUGAUGAGAUUGAAGUAUUCCAGGCAACACUUGUUGUUAUAAGCAUGAGCUCCUCCAUGAGGACCACUCAGCUCCAAUGAUCAACCAUAAGCAAACAUCUAGCUUGGGGGAGAGCAUCCCCUAGUUAUGAGCACGGUUAGAAGCGUGGGAGAAAGAGAAUAAACCUGAAGAGUUAGAGCAAGAGAAGAAAGAAGCAAAAAAGAUAGAAGCAAGAUGGAAGGAAGACACACGUGAUGCAUCACCAUGAAAUGGGGAUUUGACUGAGGUUACCUCAGACAAAGAAUCCACUGAGUAAGUGCUCCCCUCUAUCUAAGUCCUGUCGGUAGACUUUAAAUUCCGUACCCUAGCCAUAAGGUCAGAAUGGUAGUUAUCUAGUUAAAUUAGCAUGCAUUAGUAAUUUUGCUUUAAAACACCUAGUAGAAUAUUUAUUUCUCUUGGCAUAUUAAUACAAAAUAUGAAAAAAAAUAUUUACUGCUUUAAUUACUGCAUCAUAAAUACCAAAGCCCCAUGUGAAUAAACUUAUGGUAACCCCUUAGGAAUAUUUACUAUGGUGGGAUAAAUUUUUUUUAGCAUUCAUAUUUAUUUCAUGCAUUAUAAAAUCAGAAAAUACAAAAAGAUAGAAACAUUAAAUUCUGCAAAAUUAGCUCAAUUGGCUGACUGCUAACCCAUUAAUAAAUUCGAGCAUCGAGUUUUAGUUUCUCUUUAUGGAGUGUAUUUAUGCAGGAAUAACAUCAUAGCAAGGAGAGAGUCUAUCAGUGGCACCCACCAGGUCCGCUACUGGUUAGCUCACUCUAAAGGACAUCUACACCAAGUAUUGCAACCAUCUAGCUUGGGGGAGGAGCAUCCCCUAGUUAUCAGGUGACUACACCUAAGCGAUUAUUAAUUUACUUUAUAUAGAUAUUCAUAAAAUACCAAAAAUAUGUGGGCACAUGAAGGUCCACAAGUCAUAGAGUCUUUUUGUGAGUUUAUAAUUAGUUAAGUGUUAGAGUAUGUUUAGAGUCGGUCUAAACUAGAGCUAAACAAAAAUCGAUGAACAUUAAAAUUUUAUCUUGGAGAUGAUGAAUUUUGCUCUGUUAUAAUUCUUUACAAGUAUCUAUAUUCUAACGGUAGAUUCUCUUAAGUUUUGGACAUGACUAUUUUAAUUAGAAGGUUUAUUUUGAACCUGCAACUUGUGGAGACAUAAGUUUGAGCUAAGUCUAGGUUGAAAGUCUGAGCUACUAUUUAUCUUAUUCCUAGCAUUACUAAGUUCUAGAGAUUUAUUUUGAAAACCCAAAAUUAUACAUGAUCAGCUCUUGUAUGACAAAGUUUGAAUUCCUACCAAAGCCAUAUAUAAUAUCCAUUUAGAGUUAGGAAAACUUUCGCACAUUUAUGCUGCUUGCUUUGCGUUGAGUUCAGUCACGCUUUGUCGUAUGCCUUAUGAGAGUCUUGUCAUGCUUUUAGAACCAAGAUCACAUACACACUUUAGAUCACAUAUGCAUUAUUACUACACUGGGAGUAAUCGCAAUUAUUUCCAUUCCAUGUUAUACAAUCAUGUUUUUCUCCUACACUAGGAAUAGACACCAACAUAAACCAUACCCAUAGGAUAAAGCCCAUCAUAAAUGCCCUAAGUUCUUAUUAUUACCUCUCUGAUCAUUUACUGUAUUCAAAGGAUACAUCUGGCUAUGCAAAAAUAUAAAAGAAGAAAAGGGAGUAAAAGAUGGACAAGUGUCCUAGUAAUUAAAACAAUGGGUACUAGAUGCCCGCCUCCCUGAAUAAAAAAAAUAAAGAUAGCCCAUGUCUUUCCUGAAAAGUUUCAAUAGAGAGGUGUUCCCAAAGAAAUAUAAAUUUGCCACAAAUACCACAAAUGCACCUAUCCACCAUAUUCCAUACACAUGCACAUCUUGGUUUGAUUGUAUGUCUCGAUUCUCUAUGGAUCCAUUAGUUGACUUUAUAAUAUAUGCAUUGCAAGUAUGCCUAUCCUUGUUAUUGACACUCCUAUAAGCUCUAGGAUAUAUACCUUUAGCUAUAGGAGGCAUAACAUCAUUAAUGCCUCAAGAUAGAACUAUAAAUACCACAUACAUUGAGAGACUUGAGGGUGUCAUACAAUUAAGCUCUGAGUUUUAUUUAAAAAACUUAUAAAAAACUCCAGAAUAAUGGUUAUGCAAAGAAUUUGAGAAAUAGUGCUUGACCUGAUUGUUCUAUCUUCUGAUUGCUCAAGAUUCAUGCAAAAGCUGUAAAGCCCCAUGGUUAAAGGUAAAACGGGUAAGUUUGAAGAUUAGAGCAGUUAUAAACUAAUCUGGAGGAGAACCGUUGUUUAGGAGCAUGUGUACUUGGAAAGAAUGAAAGCAUUGUAGCAACUCCUAAUCCAAAUACAUAUACUACUUAGGCUUGUGUUGAUGCAAAACUGAUCUGCAAACACAAAGGGCUAAUACCCGAUUCAAACGUUAAGGCGUGCCAGCCGAUUUGACCUUACUAUCGGCAAAGGUGAUAACUCGAAUACUUUAGUCCUGACAACAGCGAUGCGCCCGGAUGUCACGGCUAAGAGGUACUCACGCGGAACUCGAGAACACGCCGAGCUUAAGUCGACGAAUUCCUAAGAACUCGUAAUAAAAAGAAAAAAGUAUGACGAAGUCGUCGAAAAGUAGAUGCUGGAAUAUGAGUAAAAACAUGUGUUUGAUUGAUUUCUUGAUUCAUUAUUACAAGGCCCUAGGGUUUAUAUUUAUACCCUGCUCAAAGAGCUACAACCAGACACGAUUAGAAUUCGAAUUCCAAAUUACACGGAAUCCGUAUACAAAACGAUGCAAAUAAUUAAGGAAAUAACAAAACUAUCCCUCGUGACAAACCGAAACUCCUCCACAUGACAACUGGCAGCUUCCGGACUCCUCCUUUGCAUCAUCGGCAAUCCCUUUGCCAUAGUCAUCGGCAGACCUUUUUAUCUAGCCAUCGGCACCAUAUUACUGCCUGUGGACUUAGUUACAUUCAACAUCUCCCUCAUCGGCAACCAUCAUCAUCGGCAACCCGCUUUGUAAACAUCGUACUGCCACCUUAUCCUGCCAUCCUAGACACGUGCCUAGAAACGGUGUCAACACAUGCCCCCCAGUUUCGGAGUAUAAAACUAUUAAUGCUCCGAAAUUCUCUGCGGUAAUGAUGCCUUUUCCCGCAAUUAAUGCUCCUAAUCUGGUAACCGACAACCUCAAUCUGGACAACUCUGAUCCUAAUCCUCCGCGGAUUCCUCGAAAUCCCCAACUUCCUAAACGGGCAUUUUCUCAGUCGUACAUCGGCAACAAUACCGUUACAAAGAUCUGCCGAUGUCCUGACCAGGAUAUUCGCACAAACGGUCACUUCCCCUCUAUCCGCCCAUCGGCAAUAUGACUGUUACAGAAUAUCGCCGAUGGACCGACCAGGAGAUCUCGCGCAGUAAAAUAUCUUCAGAUAAUGACCGCUUCCCGUCAAAUCACCUGCACAAUCCCUGGAUUACCGUGCGAACAGUUACCAUAUCCACAUGAGUACCCUCGGAUUUCUCGGAUGCGGCAAAGAGAUAAGUCGGAUUUACCCUUGCCCAUUUUGUCCUAUAAAUAGUUCCUUCUUGGGUACUCCUCCCCCAUCACACCAUUCUACUACCCAACUUUACUUUCCCAGCGGCGGCGCCAUUUACAACCUCCAAGUCCUCGGACAAGCACUCCUCUUCAUCAACUCCGGUGCCCUCCAAUGUCCUCUUCACGACAAGAUGGCCAUUGGCUUCGUCGUCCCUGAGGUCAGAUCUCCAUCUCAUCUUCUGUAUUUUUUAUUCCUGUUCAUCCGCGAUUCAUCUUACUGAAUAUUCUCCUUUUCCUUUUUCUUUGUAUUUUUAUCCCCCAAAAUCACUAGGAGUUGUCCAAUAAAAUUGUCAUCCCCACCGAUCAACCACACCUUCAAUGUCUCGGCCCUCUAGGGGAUUCAGAUCCAACCAACCUUAUCAACGCAGAAACCAAUAGGAUCCCCUUUAGAGCCGAAAACUUUUCUUUAGAUCUGUGGAAAGACACUUUUCGCUCUUGGCCCAGCCCUACCGUAGGGUGGAAAGACUGGUUCUUGAGGGUCAGCAAUUCUUAUGAAGUCCAGUGGGGCGAAAGGAAACUAUCCCAAUGCAUUAGGCUAUCCAUUGCCGAUAUGCACAGGAACGAGUCACUGCUGAUAGCUGCGUCCUACUUUUGGUCAGACACCCUCAAUGCCUUUGUUUUUGGCCAUGGCCCUGCUUCUCCUACCCUUGCCGAUGUAGCCAUGCUCACUGGUCUAGAUAUAUCUUCUGCCGAUAGCACCCACUUUUUUGAUACUGCCCCCAGUGCUAAAGUGGAGACUCGCGCUAUUGGCGGUUGGUCAGGGUACAUUCAGAAGUACCGCGGGAGAGGGCCUGUCACCAUAAAGGAGCAAACCACCUUUCUGAACAUGUGGCUGGACAAGUUUGUAUUCUGUGGUCGAUCGGCAGGACCAACUUCUGUCUAUCUAUCGGCAGCAGAGAGACUGGCUAACGGUGGCCAAUUUCCUCUCGGCCGAUACUUGCUUGGCGCUGUUUACCACCUUCUCCAUCAGGUAGCCCAGAAACUCCUGCUUAGCCAAUCCAUCGGCAACUUGGGAGGCCCCUGGUGGUUUAUUAAUAUGUGGCUCAAUCUGCACCUGCAUAAGCGCCUUGAUUUCAACUUGUUCUCACAGCACUUCCCAAGAAAUAUAGCCGAAAAUCAUGUGUUGGGUGAAGAGGAAUCAGCAACGCGUGCCCCCUUGAACUUUGGCGAAGCCGUCAUAGUCCUACCUGGUUCAGGGAGUAAUCCGGAUCAGAUCGGCCGAUUCUUCGAGACUCUGUAUGAGGGUUUGGCCAGAGAUGAACGACCAUGGUUGGCUUAUGAUGACCCAGAUAGCAUGCUCCCUCUGACCUUCAAUCCAUUCGAUGAAGCUCUCGAUAGGGACAAUGAGGCGAUGAUGGCAAUUGUAACUCCCAGAGCCAUUCCAGUGAAUUUCUUCGGUAGCACAAAAACUUCUCCCCAGACUUAUGAAUUUUACAAUCCAUCGGCAUUAGCUCGCCAGUUAGCUUUCGGCCAGUUGUCAAUCGCACUUCCUUAUGCCGAUGUGAUAAAACCCAGAGAAACUAUCAAUAACUUUCUUGAGUGGAGUCGAGUAGCCCAACUACCACCAAACGCCGAUACAGAUGUAGAUCUAUCAGAAUGGGUUCCAGCUGCUUUUAUCACUCAGGCAUACAAGUUAUGGUGGGCAGAAUGGAAAGAGCAUCUAUUCUGCAGAUCGGCCCUUUCAUACCGCGACAUGAUCGACCCCGAAUACGAAAUUCCCGAUGACACUGUAAGUAUCUCCAACCGAUGUUUCAUUUUUUCAACAUUAUUUCCAUCAGUAGCUUACCCUUGUAUUCCUUUUGCAGGUUAAUAACAUCCCCUCAUCGGUUAGCAGGAGUGGCAAGCCGAUCGACUUGUUUCCAUCAGGCCCGAUUUCCUCAAUCGGCCACAAUGCUCCCACUCUGGCUUCCAUCGUGCAUCGGGGUGUGCGCCUCAGGAAAGUUACGACCAGGAGAACCCAGACAUCACCAACGGUAGCUGCUCCCACUCUAGCGCGGGCUUUCAAGGCAAUUUGUCAAAUCCUUAUCUUUUACGCUGACUAUCUUUAUAUCGGCUUUAUUUAUACUCAUAAACCCUUGUUCGUUAUUGCAGCAAACCAGUGCAUCGGCAAAGGUCACACGUCAAGGUGCCGAUGCCACCCAGUCCAGCCAGCCAAAGAGGAAGGGUGUCAAGAGCACCAGGGCCGAAACGAAACGCCAAAAAGUGGCAACUCCCCCUCUUCCUCCGGUAUCUCCAAUCCCAGUGGAGUCUUCUCCUUCUUCUCCAGAAGUCCAGACACAGCAAGCGCCAUCUCCCCAACCAAUGCAGGAAGCACCACAGAUGGAAGAAUCCCAGCAGGAAGAGCCUCAAACAGAAGGUACAUCAGUUGAUGUAGGUGAACAAACAACUGGUCCGGUGGGUCCAAUUAUAUCAUCGGCGGUUCUCCCGAUUCAGACAACCGUUGUUCCUCCUCCAGGUAACAUACUUUAACAAUACCGUUGCCGAUGAACUUAUUUUCAUUUAGUUUCAUAACCCUUCCUGUCUUCUUUCAGUCGAUAUCGUCCCAUCGGCAACCUUAGCCGAUCAACCUGUAGUUCCAUCGGCAUCUUUGGCCGAUCAGCCCGCAGCUCCGUCAGCACCUCCCAGUCUAAGGCAAGAGAUCGCCUUGAAGCAAGUAAGUCACUGUUUACCGCCAGCAUUAUUUGCCGAUUCUCCGAAUAUGAGCUAACCUUGCUUUCCCUCCCAGGAACAAGAUUCUCCCGAUAGCCUGUUUUCCUUCGCCAUCGAUCUCUCGGAAGAAGAAGGCGAAGAAGCAAGCUCUUCUCAGACAGUUGGCAUUACAUCGGCAGAGAUCAGGGCCAGGCUGGAAGAAUUGUCAGUUCUCCUCCACCAGGAUACAGCGCAUUUGGUCGAUGACUCCGACCCUACCAAGACCCUGUUCAGAACUCUCAGAGGCCAAAUCCCAGCCGACGUCGAAGAAAUCCUGUUCCAAGCCGCUCAUCUGGAGAGUCGCCAGCUGCAGUACCAGAGAGCUUCUCGGCGUCUUGCCGAUAGAGCCGCUCAGACUCAACUCUCCGAUGAAAUGAGGAAAGAGAAACUCCUGACCGAUGAGAAGCACAAGAACAUCGGUAUCCUGAGAUCUUCAGGAGAUGCGCUGAAGCAGAAGAUAUCCGAUCUAUCGGCAAGAAGAGAAUCCCUGUUGGCGGAACUCAAGGAAGUGGAGAACGCCUUAUCCCAAGCCCAACAGGAAGAGAGCCAAUUGCCAGAGACCAUCAGGCUUCUUGAGCACGAGCGAAACGUUCAUGGUCGCAAGGCACUUCAACUGAAGAAGAAGCUGAAGCCGAUAGAAGGUUCUGCCGAUGAUGACAUUAAGGAGAUAGAAGCAGCCAACCAAAUCCGGCUACGCGCUAUAUCGGCAAUCCAGACGCUGCUUAACACAUAGAGUUUCCAUCGGCAUUGUAUCUGCGCUUUCCUGCUUCCUCAGCUUUUAGUCUAGCCGAUAGGACUGUUAUCGGCGCCUAAACUUUUGAGACACCAAGUCUUGUCCCCAAGCAUUUGGAUCCAGCCGAUAGGAGUGUUAUCGGCACCUAAACUUCUAUGCAUCGACCCAUAUACUGGGGUAGUACUUCUUUAAAUAUUUGCCGUUUAAUGCUCUGGGAAAUUCAAUUCCUUCGAGGGUUUCUAGAAUGUAGGCAUUACCAGGAGCCGAUCGACUUAUCCAAUAAGGACCCUCCCAAUUAGGAGACCACUUUCCAAACUUCGAACUUUUGGUCCCAAUUGGUAAAAUUAAUUUCCAUACCAAAUCCCCAUCGGCAAACUCUUUAGCCUUCACUUUCUUAUCAUACCAUCUAGCAACUCUCUUCUUAUUUUCUUCUAUACUCAUUAAAGCUUUUAACCGAUGCCCUGCUAGAUCGUCCAAUUCAUCGGUCAUCAAAGUGGCAUAACCAUCGGAAGUUAAUUGAUCUUGAAAAGAUAAUCGCCUAGAUCCAGCCUUAAUUUCCCAAGGCAACACUGCAUCAUGUCCAUACACCAAUUGAUAGGGUGAUACCUUGGUCGAUCCAUGACAAGCCAUCCGAUAAGACCACAAUGCUUCAUUUAAUAAUGUAUGCCACCGCUUAGGAUUUUCUUCAAUCUUUCGUUUAAUAAGCUUGAUAAUUCCUUUGUUAGACGCUUCGGCCUGCCCAUUGGCUUGAGCAUAAUAAGGAGAAGAAUUCAACACUUUAAUUCCCAUACCGAUUGCGAAUUCAUCGAACUCCCCCGAUGUGAACAUGGUGCCCUGAUCGGUAGUAAUCGUUUGGGGAAUCCCAAAUCGGUAAAUAAUAUGCUCCUUCACAAAAUCAAUCAUAUUGGCCGAUGUGACUUUCUUCAAAGGAAUAGCUUCAACCCACUUAGUGAAAUAGUCAGUGGCAACUAGAAUGAACUUAUGCCCUUUGCUAGAUGGUGGAUAAAUCUGGCCGAUCAGAUCGAUGGCCCAUCCCCGGAACGGCCAAGGCUUUAUUAUAGGGUUCAUAGCCGAUGCGGGUGCUCUCUGGAUAUUACCAAACUUUUGACAACCUUGACAUCCCUUGAAAUAUUUAAAACAAUCUUCAACUAUGGUUGGCCAAAAAUAUCCAUUCCUUCGAAUCAUCCACUUCAUCUUAAAAGCUGACUGAUGCGCUCCACACACUCCUUUAUGGAUUUCCCCCAUCAAACUUCUAGCUUCAUCAUCACCCAAGCAUCAGAGAAGAAUUCCAUCGAUAGUUCGAUAAUACAAUUCAUCUUCAAGGAGCACAUACUUGGUUGCUUGAAAUCGAACCCGUCUUUCAACUUUUUUGGAUGGAUCUUUUAGAUAAUCAAUAAUUUCUUUCCUCCAAUCACCAGCACCGACUGCCGAUGUCGCAUUAAUCAUUGGCUGAUAUCCCGAGGCAUGCUGAGCUAACCGAUUAGCGUCUUCAUUAUGCAAUCGGGGAACAUGCUCCAACCGGAAAUCCUUGAAUUCCUUUAACAGUUGCAUACUUCUCUCGAAAUAAGUUAUGAGAACUUCACUUCGGCAUUCAUAGCUUCCGGCCAAUUGAUUUAUAACCAACAUAGAAUCCCCGAAUAUUUCAACAGCAUCAGCACGAACUUCUCUUAACAACUCUAAUCCCUUGAUCAGAGCUUGAUACUCAGCCUGAUUAUUUGUUGAUGUGGCAACAAUCGGCAAGGAAAACUCAUACUUCCUCCCCUUAGGGGAAACUAAUACAAUGCCGAUUCCUGCCCCCCGGUCACAGGUAGAUCCAUCAAAGAAGAGCGUCCAGGGUACAAUUUCCAAGGUUUCCACUAGGCCGCAAUGCUGAGUCACAAAAUCGGCCAUAAUCUGCCCUUUGACUGCCUUAGCCGAUUCGUAACGCAAAUCGAACUCCAACAGCGCUAAAAUCCAUUUACCGAUCCUACCACUCAUAAUCGGCAUAGAUAGCAUGUAUCGGACCACGUCAUCUUUGCAAACAACAGUGCAUUCGGCCGAUAACAGGUAAUGUCUCAGCUUGAUACAUGAAAAAUAUAAGCACAAGCAUAGUUUCUCAAUGGCCGAAUACCUGGUUUCAGCAUCAAUCAACCUCCUACUCAAAUAAUAAAUUACCCUUUCUUUCCCUUCAAAUUCUUGAACUAAAGCUGAACCGAUAACCGAUCCAUCGGUAGAUAAAUACAAUCUGAAGGGCUUCCCUUGUUGAGGUGGAACUAGAACUGGAGGAUUUACCAGAUACUUCUUGAUUUCAUCCAGAGCCAACUGCUGUUCUUCUCCCCAAAUAAACUCUUGAUCGGCUUUCAAUUUAAGAAGAAGACUGAAAGCACGAAUCCUACCAGACAAAUUCGAUAUAAAUCUCCUGAUAAAAUUUACUUUGCCGAUCAGGGAUUGGAGCUCGGUUUUGUUGGUAGGGGCCACUAUUUUAUUGAUGGCUUCAAUAGAUCUUCGACUAAUUUCAAUACCCCUCUGAUGUACCAUGAAACCAAGAAACUGCCCUGCCGAUACACCAAAUGCACACUUGUUGGGAUUCAUUUUCAAUCCAUGCUUCCUUGUGCACUCUAACACUUUUUGUAAAUCGGCAAGAUGCUUUGAGAAAUCUCCAGAUUUAACCACCACAUCAUCAAUAUAAAUCUCUACGAGCUUGCCGAUGAACUCAUGAAAUAUAAAAUUCAUAGCCCUUUGAUAAGUAGCACCAGCAUUCUUCAACCCAAAAGUCAUGACUAUCCAUUCAAAUAGCCCAACAUGACCAGGACACCUGAAUGCGGUUUUUGGAAUAUCCUCCUCCGCCAUGAAUAUUUGAUUGUAACCGGCAUUACCAUCCAUGAAGCUGAUGACCCGAUGACCAGCCGCAGCAUCAACCAGUAGAUCGGCGACAGGCAUUGGGUAUCCAUCCAUCGGCGUAGCUUUACUGAGAUUCCUGAAAUCAAUGCACACCCGAAGCUUCCCGUUCUUCUUGUAAACCGGAACAACAUUGGAAAUCCAUUCGGCAUACCGACACUGCCGAAUAAACUUAGCUUCAAUAAGUUUAGUUAUUUCGGCCUUAAUAUCAGGUAGAAUGUUAGGAUUACAUCGGCGGGCUGGUUGCUGAUGUGGCCGAAAUCCAGACUUGAUGGGUAACCGAUGUUCAACAAUUGAUCGGUCUAAACCAGGCAUCUCUGUAUAAUCCCAAGCAAAGCAAUCUUUAUAUUCCUUUAACAAACUAGUUAAUUGUCGCUUACUCUCGGGAUCUAAUUUAGCACUAAUAAAAGUAGGCCUAGGCUUAUCAUCACUACCUAUAUCUACUUCUACCAAAUCAUCGGCCGAUGUGAAUCCCUGGCCUAAUUUUCCAUCAUCGGCGAAUCUGUCCAUUAAAAACCGUCGUCAGAACCGACUGCUUGGAUCGGUGGAAUCUCAUAGUCGGCAACUUUGAGAAAAUCUUUCUCCCAAACUUCUCCUGAAAUGCACCUGGUCCUUUCGUAAGUAUCCGCUUCUGCCGAUGCGAUAACAUAAGAAGAAUCCCCUGGGACAAUCUCAAUCUUGUCACCUACCCACUGAACCAAGCACUGAUGCAUUGUAGAUGGGAUACAACAAUUGGCAUGAAUCCAAUCUCUUCCCAAUAAUAAGUUGUAGGCACCUUUUCCGCUGAUCACGAAAAAAGUUGUCGGCAAGGUUUUGCUGCCGAUGGUCAACUCUGCACAUAUCGCCCCCUUGACUGGAGACACGUUUCCUUCAAAGUCUUUGAGCAUCAUAUCGGUCUUGGUCAAAUCUUGAUCCCCUUUCCCAAGCUUCCGAUAUACUGCAUACGGCAUAAUAUUAAUAGCAGCUCCACCAUCAACUAGGAUCUUGGUCAUUGGCUGCCCAUCAACCCUUCCUUUGAGGAACAGAGCUUUAAGAUGCUGCCUCUCGUCAUCGGCAGGUUUCUCAAAGAUAGCCGUCAUCGGAUCCAGAGCCAACUGAGCUAUCUGAUCAGAAAAUUCCAAUUCAUCAUGACUGACUGGUGCAAGAAACUCCAUCGGCAACAUGAAGACCAUGUUGACGCCUGCCGAUGGACCUUCCCUCUUAGUGUCUGACGGCUGCCGACUUCCAGAGUUCUCUCCCUUGUUGAGCUCUUCUUGCCUUUCACGUUGCAAUCUCCUUUUCUGUGUCUUGGUUAAUCCUCCAGGGCACCAUGGAGGAAGUGGCCUUUGCCUUGCCGUCGGGCGUUGGUUCUCCCUUGACUCCAUACGAUGCGUGUUAGCAUCCCUGCAAAAUAUGAAUUCAUCGGGAACCCGCGCAUCAGCCAUUUCCUCGAGCUCUUCUUGGUUCCUGGGAAAAUACCAGACACGGUCACUAAGUCUGUUGUGCCCACUAAAUCUGCCCCCCAGCCGGUCAUGAACUGACACCCUUCCUCUGAUCGGCCCAUUAAAUCGCCGUUCAUCAUUAUGAUAAUGCCGAUCGAUCCUAUCGUACCGAUCAUAACCGUUGCACUCAGGGCAGUCUCUGACAGUAGGAAGCUUGAUAUUUUCCUCCCAACAAUGGAUGAAGAAUGGACAAUUCCAAUGAUCCCUGUGCCGAUUCCACUCCUGUCGGCGUCUUUCUUCUUCCCGUCGAUAAUCUUCCUGCUGGCGCCGAUACCGAUCUUCCCGUUGUUGCCACUUUUCUCGAGGCCUUCUAUGAGUUAUGACGAUACCAGAUCGAGGAAGCCUUCCUGAGCUAGUUCCUUCCUGGACCAAGCCCUUACUUCUUGCAUCGGCAGUAGUAACUUGAUGCUGAGGAUCUACCGAUGCACUCUUCUCAGCUGUCUCCGAUGUUAAGACCUUAGCCUUCCCCUUAGCAUCCAACAUGUUUGUCGGGAAAGGAUGUUGGUCUAUCUUCAUCGGCUUCUGGGCUUUGGAACUGUCAAACUUGAUUCUCCCUGACUCUAUAGCCGAUUGCAGCAGCUGUCUGAAUACUUUGCACUCGUUGGUGUCAUGGGAAGUUGCAUUAUGCCACUUGCAAUAUCUCAUCCUCUUCAACUCUUCUGCCGAUGGGAUCACAUGGUUAGGUGACAGUUUGAUCUGACCUUCCUGAAGUAGAAAGUCAAAUAUCCUAUCAGCCUUAGCGGUGUUAAAAGCAAACUUCUCUGGCUCCUUCUGCCCAAAAGGACAAGACAUCGGCUUCUUGUUUUUUACCCACUCUGCCAAACCGAUUACUGGUUCUUCAUCAGAAUCUGAGCUUGUUGCUUCAUCAACAAAUGACACUUUCUUAUUCCAUGCUCUCUUAGGCUCGAAAGGCUUGAUGUCUUGAUCAGAAAUCCUCUGCACCAAAUGACUUAAACUUUCAAACUCCUGAGAGGCAUACUUAUCCCUGAUAUGUGGCAACAAACCCUGGAAAGCCAAAUCGGCUAGCUGCCGAUCAUCCAGAACUAGGCUAUAGCAUUUAUUCUUGACCUCUCGUAUCCUCUGCACAAAUCCCUCAACCGACUCAUCAUUACGUUGCCUCAACUUGACCAAGUCGGUGAUCUUCUUCUCAUGAACCCCCGAGAAGAAGUAUUUGUGGAAUUGCUUCUCUAGAUCGGCCCAAGUAAUUACUGAGUUGGGAGGUAAUGAUAUGAACCAAGUAAAGGCCGAUCCAGACAAUGAUGAUGAAAAUAGACGAACCCUCAAUUCGUCCCUAUUACCAGCCUCUCCACAUUGAAUAAUGAACCUGUUGACAUGCUCCAUGGUUGACGUGUCGUCCUGUCCGGAAAACUUUGUAAAAUCCGGUACCUUGUACCGAUGUGGAAGCGGGAUCAAAUCAUACGCGGGAGGAUAUGGUGUCCGAUAAGAAUAAGUGUUGACUUUGGGUUUUAUCCCAAAUUGUUCCCUCAUUACUUCAGCAAUCUUAUCGGCCCAAUAUGCAUCGGCAUCUUGCCGAUGAGGCGGCUGCGGAUCUGGCACUUGGUGGCGAACCUCCACGUGUCUGUUCGGGACGUGAUCUGCACGGAACAUCGUAUUGAUCACCUGUCCUCCAAUCUGCGGACCACCAAACUGCUGUCCACCGAUUGGCUGUCCUCCGAGUUGCUGUCCAAAAUUCAUUGGCUGUUUGGGAAUCCCCUGACCUUGGAAACCGGGAUAGACCUGCCCUUGCUGGAACCCUGUAGUCUGAUAACUCUGCUGGGGCGAUUGUGGAAAGGCUUGCUAUCCAAGCCAUCCAUUAUUAGCGUUCAUCGGCAUAGGUGCUGCCGAUGAUUGGUAAUUGGGUACCGUCGUUGAAUUAACAUACCCCGACUGGGCCAUAGGCCUCUGUUGCAUCAGCAUUGACUCUGCCGAUGCGUUGGGCAUCUGGAACAUUGAAUCUUGAGGAUUUCCAGUGUGAGGCCUAGCAGUAGUGGUUGUGGUAUACCGAGGACUCUGGUUCACCGGCGCAUUGGGAGGUGCCGAUGCCAUAGGAGUUUUGCCCCUCAUGUCAGUUAUUUGUGAUGUUCCCGGCGUCAACUCUGGAGGCAUACCGUAACCCCACCAGUUGGGAGGAAGAGUCAACCCUGACAUUGCCGAUGCCAACAUAUCUGUUGUCAGUUUAUGCUGCCCAACUGAAAUUUGUGGGUUGGUUGCCAUCGGCAUAGAUAGUGCACCAGUAGUCCCCGAUGUACUUGGAGGGACGGCAGAUUGUGCACUUGCAUUCGUCAAGGCAGCCGAUGGAGUCGUGACCUCUGGUGCCGUUGGCUGAUGAUGGGAGGGGCCCACAUAAUCUGGUGGGAUUUGUCCUUCCUUGAAAGUUCUUGCCACGGCAUUGAAAACCGUAUUAGACAAUACACCAGCUUGGUUAAUCAACGCUCGAUUGAUGGCAUUGUCAACCAUAUCUUGAAGCUUGCCAGGAUUGGCGUCAAAGGUAACCUGCCGUGGUGCCGACAGUGCAUCUUUCUGGACCACUUCGCCGCUCCUGUUUAUGCUGAAAGACCUCAGGCAUUGCUGCUUGAACUCUUCCAUGGCUUGGGCAAUAGCUUGCUUCUGCUCAUCCUUGAGGUUGGCCUCCGUCACGGGGAUGACGUUCUCUUGAUCGAGGUCAGAGAUCGACAUGUUGAUCUUGAUCUUGAAUCUGGUCCCACUGGGCGUGCCAAAAGAUGUGUUGAUGCAAAACUGAUCUGCAAACACAAAGGGCUAAUACCCGAUUCAAACGUUAAGGCGUGCCAGCCGAUUUGACCUUACUAUCGGCAAAGGUGAUAACUCGAAUACUUUAGUCCUGACAACAGCGAUGCGCCCGGAUGUCACGGCUAAGAGGUACUCACGCGGAACUCGAGAACACGCCGAGCUUAAGUCGACGAAUUCCUAAGAACUCGUAAUAAAAAGAAAAAAGUAUGACGAAGUCGUCGAAAAGUAGAUGCUGGAAUAUGAGUAAAAACGUGUGUUUGAUUGAUUUCUUGAUUCAUUAUUACAAGGCCCUAGGGUUUAUAUUUAUACCCUGCUCAAAGAGCUACAACCAGACACGAUUAGAAUUCGAAUUCCAAAUUACACGGAAUCCGUAUACAAAACGAUGCAAAUAAUUAAGGAAAUAACAAAACUAUCCCUCGUGACAAACCGAAACUCCUCCACAUGACAACUGGCAGCUUCCGGACUCCUCCUUUGCAUCAUCGGCAAUCCCUUUGCCAUAGUCAUCGGCAGACCUUUUUAUCUAGCCAUCGGCACCAUAUUACUGCCUGUGGACUUAGUUACAUUCAACCUCUCCCUCAUUGGCAACCCGCUUUGUAAACAUCGUACUGCCACCUUAUCCUGCCAUCCUAGACACGUGCCUAGAAACGGUGUCAACAGCUUGGUUUGCCAAGGGACUGGCAAAAGAUAAGCUUGGGGGAAUUGUUGAUGGUCGAUACCGUCAACUUUAUUAGAGCUUUAGACCCAAAGGUGAACAUGAAAACACACUAGUCUAGGGUUUAAACUGACAAUUUCCAUGAGUUUUGUAUAUUCUGUAUUUUCCAAGGUCUAUUUUUAGAAAAGCUAAAAAGAGGGAUUCAAGUGCAAAAUAAAUACGAAACUUAUCCACCACGGAAAGAUCACGAUCGGGACGUUGGAAGACUCUAGAAGACACCCAAAGAGCUGGGGGGCCAAAGGCCGCCAGGUGGGGCCGGCUGGCCCCACCCUAGCACCGGUCGGUGCCCCAAUGUUAGGGUUUUGGCCCCCUUCUAGAAGCUUCCUCCACCGCCUAUGAGGAGUCAUCUUGGCCCUUGGUUAAGUCGGUUUGAUCCUGCGGCGCACGUCGAUCCCACCGGGUUAUAAAUAAAGGGGCAGACCCCCCUCCCUGGAGGCAUCAAGUCAUUUGGAGAUCAAUCCAUCAAGAGCCUUCUCUAGUUCAUCAGAGCCUCUCUAGUUCAUAGAUUUAGCCUAGUUAGAUUAGAAUUAGAAGAGUUCUAUGUUUUCUUUCCUUUUUUCUAUUUUUUACCAUUUAAUUAACUGAGGUAGGUAAUUUUGAAAUUUAGUUUUUAUUAUUAAAGGUACGUUGGUAACUGUUCUUUUAUCUUACUGUCCCUGGGCACCAUGAUUCUCUCUACCAGUAAGCACGUGUCACCGUUGAGCUUCUUCAUCUUCUCUGCACUAUGGGAUGACAUGAUGCGGUAACAUGCAACCAUCUGGUUAUCACUGAUGCAUGCACAUUGUUUGCACUUUUGCUUUUGCUUUUGCUUUGAUAAGAGAAUACAAGCAUAGCUCUUUGUUUGCUCUUUGGGCUGGAGCGAGUGAGAUAGCUUUUUGUUUUCUCUUUUGCAUGGGGCUGGAGCUACAGAAUAAAGCUAGAAUGAUGCAUCGGUCAUCCACCGUUCUGCCGCUAGGUGUGGGGACACGGAGCUGGCGUGUAGCUUCUGAUGCUUGGACCCAGUCGUGUGGGAGGGGCCGGAUCUGAAUCUUGCUGUGGCUGGGGCUGUGCACAGCAAAAACAACGUAGGAGCAAGGACCAGGCUAAGUUGCCCCCUGGGCCUAGCCCAUCAACUCCUCCUCGUGUAGGCCAUGAACUGAACAUGUCUAGUAUAACACUCCAAAUUUUUGAAUUUGAAAUUUAGCUUGAAUUUGAUUUAAUUUUGGCUUAGUUUGAAUUUUUGAGAAUUACUAAAUAAUUUACAAAAUUAAAUAAAAUGAAAUAUAAGGUAGAAAACUUGUUUGUGUGCAUUCAUGCUGCUGCAUAAUUUUUUCUUUUGACUUAUGUUUAUUUGAUUGUCUUUGUUUGAGUUUUGGAGCAAAAAAUAAAUAGGAGAAAUCUGUUAAAAAAAAAAGAAAAAGAAAAGGGGCAAGCGCCCUGGGCCGGCCUCCCCCCUCUCCCUGCACGCCCGCGUGGGCCUCUGCGGCCCAAGCCGCGGCCCAGCCACACAGCAGCUGCGCGCCCCUGCCCUUCUGCCGCCCGCUGCCGCUGACGGGUGGGGCCCACCCGUCAGAGCCGCCCCCAACCUCCCGUCCGAAACGGACGGGGCAGCCGCGCCGCCUCCCGGUUUCCGAGCCGCACGCGAACCCGAGGUUCGCCCGCGCCUAUAAAUAGCGUCCCUCAGUCGCGCACGCGCCCCUACGCAAACCCUAGCCGCUCUCGCCGAAUUCCGCAGCGCUGCCGCCGAACUCGUUGAAAUCCGCGCCGCCGCCGUCGAGCUUCUCUUUGCCGUCGACGUUUCGCGAAGGUGAGACCCCCAUUGCAUUUGCCUCGCCGAGCCGCACCCGCUGGUGCCCUUGCCUCGCCCUCUCGCGCCGCGGACCGCCGCCACGGCGAGCUCCCGCCCGCCGCCCAUGGCGCCACCGCCGCCCGGCCUGCGCCCGCUCUCGCUCCGGCGCGCGGUCCACCGUGGACCGCGGCUUGCCGCCCCCGCACGCCGGUUCACGUGGACCUGGCCCAUGCAGCCGGCUCGCCCGCUCCCGCAGGCGCGGGCCACCAUGGACCGCGGCCCCCCUGCCCCGCGCCCUGGUCCACCGCACAGUGCCGUGGACCGGCCAGCUCGCUGCCGCCACGUGGCCAACCUGGCCACGCGCCCGCGCCGCCCCCUGCACUUUUGCAGAAAAGCCCCUUCCUUUAUAGAAAAUUAACCCGCCAUCCUAUGCAGUUCAAAAAUAAUUAGUUUUAUGCCCUUAGUUUUGCGGUUUAACCCCUGGCUUGGUUAGAAUUUAUAGUUUUAAUCCAAAAUUCUUUUUAAUUCAGUUUUAAUUAGUUUUAAUUACGAAAAAUAGUUCAGUUUAUCUAUAGAUUUGCCAUCCAACUUGUUUUAGCCAUAACUUUUGCAUCGUAACUCCGAUUUAGGUGAUUCUGGUCGCUAUAGUUUCAUUUCGUCGAGUAGAAUACAGUAGUACAGUUGCUUUCUGUUUUCGCAUGCUUUGGUGUACUGUUUCUGAUUAAGCUUGUUUGCUUGCAUGUAUUGCUUCGUUUGUGUGAUGUUUGUCGCGUAUAGCCAACGAGACGUUCGUGAAGGAAGAGGAUCAGGAUCCCGCUGAGUUUGAGCAACCCGACAACGAUCAAGGCAAGUGCAGACACUGUUUGAUCAUUUUGAACCUAUUCGUUAAUGUCAUUUACUUUAUAUGCAUGUGUCCAAUGAAUGCAAACCCUAAGGACAUGACUAGCUUACUUAUCAUUCCUUGUUCACCUGGGGCUAUGUAUAUGGGUAGAAUAGGCUAUACUAGGUUUGCUUAGCUGCUCUACUCAUCUUAUACACAUGCCUAAACAAGUAAUAAUCUCUACUCAACUUGAUGCUUAAACUGUGCUGAACCUUUGGUCACUGCGGUGAUGGCGAUGAUGGAUGCUUACGAGCAUCGUGAUGAUGGUGGUGACAGGGGGAGCGGGUACCGUUGGUGGUCCGGUUUGCCGGGCGUACCCGUCUCUGCUCUCCGUAAGGACUUAGUCAGGGAGCGGCCCCCCUGGGACUUACAGUGCAGCUCCAAGCUAUAUGGCUCUGGCUUGACUAAUUAGCAGGACCUCCACUAGUAGGGUGUUACUUUCCGGGUAGGCGUGAGGAAGUAACUGUUGGGUAUUUUAAACGCAAACAGAAAAAUCCGCAAGCGCACGGAUACCGAUGUAGCUUUCACCCAGGAGUAUUCCAGAGUAUCGAUUUUCCACAGAGAACGUGAGUGUACUAAUUAAGAAUCAAGAUCGCCCAAGGAUAACUAUAUAAUUAUUUUUGGUGGGAAGAGAGGAAGUUUCCUGAGAGUUCUCUAGUUGAUCUAAGAAUCAAGAAUUACUUCAAGAUUAUCUAUAUCGGGACAUCAGAGCACUAACCACAGAAAGAGAUGAGAAGGGGGCUAGGAAGGUCUGACUACGGUCCUACAAACACCGAUCCGAACGUGGUGGAAUACGUCGACCGUUAGGGCUGUCACUACCCUAGGGCUACCACAACAAUCCGUAGGAUUGGGUGCAAUUCCAGGUAAUCGCAAGACUAAACACCACGUCUAAUCUAUUAAUUACUACUCUAGCGUUAUAAAGACUAGAGCACUUGAUGCAAGCGGGAAUCCAAUAAAUAACUUGAAUGUAAAUAAAAGUAAUUAGAGAACUCAGGAGUUAUGAAUUGAAGAACCUAGAGAACGAUGAAGAACGAACCAGUUGCUGCAAAAGUACAAUGUUGAGGAAGAUCCGACAGAUCCGGCUCCUCCUCCGCUCUCCUCUUCUCUCUCCCUAUUUUCUAGAUUACAACUAGAACUAACUAGAACUAGAACUAGAGGAACUAGAACUAGAACUAGAUGAACUAGAACUAGAUCUAGAUGAACUAGAGGUAGAACUAGAAGAACUAGAGAGAUCCUCUCUACUUGGAUGAAGAAUUGAAACCCUAACUUUGAUUCUGUAGAAGAGGUAUGAUCUCCAGGGGCCAGGGGGGUCUGGUUUUAUAGUCCCUUCAAGUGAAUCUGGGCCGUCGGAUUAAACCGACAUUGAUCGUGUGGUUUUCCUUGAAGUAUUAGGUCGGUGGAGCAUGAUCCCCGAACAUCACCCUGAUUGGUCCAGGGGGGAGGGCGGGCGCCCAGUAAGGGAGGGCGGGCGCCCAGUGCCCGGCUCCAUUACGUCUCCCGUUCGGUCCCGUGGCUUCUGGAGUCUUCUAGAUGAUAGAAAAUUGCGCGGCACGUUAAUAUCUCUAUGUAAACCCGACGUGUGGGCCUUUCUUCCGUAUUUCCUGAUAACCCCCUACAGAAAUAGACAAACACCAAAACUUGUGGAAUUCUAUCAAAUAAAACCCUAAGUCUAGGUGUUGGUUGCAUUUGGAUCCUUUUCCAUGAUUAGUUGAUGGUUAAUUGUGAGCAUUAAGGACCGUCAACAAGCUCCCCCAAGCUUAACCUUUGCUCGUCCCUGAGCAAAGCUAAAAUCAUCAAGAAAACAGGGGUUACUUUUAUGCCUUUUACUAAAGGGUUUUAAGUUAUCACUAAGGUCUUAAGUGAUUGAAAAACAGAAUGAUCAAGUCAAGCACUAUGUCUCAAGUUCUUCUGUCUUACCUUUGUUCUGGAGUUGUUUGUAAGUUUCCAAAAUAAAUCUGAGGCAUUUGCCUUCUUCUCGAAAGAUAUAUAUAAGUAGAGCUUUAAAAAUUUUAGCAUACUUACUUUGCAUUUUGCUAUGUCAAUGCUCGGAGCAAGGGAGAGGAAUGUCAUACUCCUAGAUCAAGACCUUUGACCUUUUUGAAGAGUUUGUCAUCUCUUACUGGCAUAUUGCUUAUUAGAGGGACCAUGGGCUAUCAUUUUUUUUCCUUUUUUUUCUCUUUUUUUAGUCUCUUUUUUUCAAGUGGGCAGCAAGUACCCCUAAUUCUACUGUCGGACACAUGUCCAUUUUUUUCCACUCAGGUGGGUAUCUUUGUACCCCUAAUUCUACUUCGGACACUUGUCCAUUUUUACCUCUCAUCUCACUCUUUUUUUUGAAUCAAAUUUUUGCAUAGUCCCAUGCCUCUAACGCAAUAAUACUUCGGAAGAGUGAAUCUUUUAUAUUUUUAAAACAAAAAGAUCUUGAUCUUGGGAGCAUGAUAAUUCUCUCAACCAAAACUACAAGAAUUAACAAUGGCUUGAACAAAGAAAGUACCCACAGUUUUAAUAUUUAUUUCUUAUAAGACUCUAGGUAUUAUGAUCUCAUAUAUUUUUUUUUAUGAAUUUUUAGAUUUUCAAAAGAUAAAAUCUCCAGAACUCUAGCAAAACUUGGAACAAGUUAAAUAGUAGCUCAGACCUUCUCAUAUCAUGUUUGUCAAUUACCUAGACUUGAAUCAAACUUUCUUUUUAUUUUAUUUCAAACUUAGUAUUACAUAAAACUAUUAUAUAUUUCUCAAAACAAAAACUGUGUUUGGUUUCAUGGUUAUGCAUUUUUUUUAUUUCUGAAUACUAGUAAAUAAAACUAAGAAAGAAAAAUAAUACUUAUAUUGAUUUAUUUUUUUUAUUUAGCAAACUAAGCAAAGAUAUAUAUAUAAGCAUAAAAUCUUUAUUUGGGUUUUUAUGAUUAUGCAUCUUUUUAUUAUUUGAGUAAAGUAUAAACGUGAGUAGAACACUUAGCUGGAUAAAUGGGGGUGCUCUCCCCCAAGCUGGAUUUUGACAUAAUUUCUUCUGAUGUAGCUAGCAGGUGGCGGAGGUGUAUUUGAAUGUCGGCACCACUCUGACAGCGAUUAGGAUGUCCUUCGUCUGCUAGUCUUCUUUGAUCCUUGAAUUCUGUGAAGCUCAAAUAGACAACAAAGCUUUGUGGAACUAGUUAAGUGUUAGCAUAAAUAUCUAGCCUUUAUCAUGUUGAGCCUCCUCAAUAAAUAUUACUCAUUAGUAGGAUCAUAAUUUUAUUUUUAUAAUUUUAUUUUUAUAGGACAGGAAUAUAUUUAUUUUAUUUUUAUGCCACCACAGUGAAUGUACUUAUGGGUUUUAUGCCAUGAGCAUACUCACAUGGGGCUUACUAUUUUUAACAUUUUUAUUUUCUUUUUAAGAUGAUAUGAACCUGAUUAACUAAGCAAACUAUUUUAAAUAAUUGAAAGGGAAAAAAGGAUAACUACCAAGUUUAACUCUUACCAAGGCGUUCGGUGUUUUUAAGUCCUCCGAACGGGACUCUCUAUUUUCUCAGUUGUCCUGGGAUUCGCUGGAUGGCGUAGUUAGUGGUUCCGGCAGCGCCUGGUCUUCAUGUAUAACUAUCUUCUCUCUCCACACCUGACACGGUGCUACGGUCUCCUCAGGAUAAUUCUGUUCAAGCUGUAUGUCUUCAGACCUUACUACUUCUCCUUCGUAGUCUGCCCAUCCGUCCUUGAUGAUUUGCCUCCUCUGGUUACGGUUGCGUCGUCUUCUUCUUGUCCUGACCUGCUUAGAGUCUUCAACUAUAUAGUUAAGGUCAGUAAAAUAGUGGCAUACCUUCUCAGAGGGGAAGUGCAUAUGGACUUCUCCGGUUCCAAUGUAGAUGAUUGCUUUAACGGUGCUGAGGAACGGUCUCGCAAGGAUGAUGGGUGAAUCGUACUCGUCUUCUCCGAUCUCAAUAACCUUCAACCUUUCGGAAUGUCUGAUAUGCUAUCUCGAGCUGAAUGUAUGUCGGUUUUAGGGGCAUGGUUCCGAACAGUAGCUGAUAGGUGACUGGGUCAUCCUUUUUGGUCAGGGACGGUGACUUAAGUCGACGAUCUUGACCUCCUUGAACUCCAGUGACCAUCUUAGCUUACUCGGUCUACAUUUGCUUGUUCCUGUUCCUCCUAUUGGUCCUCUUCCUUGGUUCAUGUCGGGAAUGCUCUGAGAUUGUGUAGUCUUGUUCUUGAAGGAAAAUGUCUCAUUUCUCCCUUUGAUGUAGAAACUGAUCAUGGCAGCACUAGCGUAGAUGACAGCUCCUGAGGUGUUCAGGAAUGGCCUCCCUAGGAUGAUGGGUGCCCUCUCAUCAGUACCAGUCUCUAUCACCAUGAAGUCUGCUGGGGCGUACAAGGUACCAACUCGGACGUAGAGGUUCUUCAAUAUUCCCGUUGGGAAACUUAGCGUACGAUCUGCAGGCUGCAAGCACACGGUUGUUUCUAGUAAAGGAUGUGUAAAGAAUUUUUCAUAGAGUACCCUGGGCAUAAUGUUGACACUGGAGCCAAAGUCGCAGAGUGCUUCUGGGAAGUCCACCAUGCCGAUGGAGAUCGGGAUGACGGGGCAUCCUGAGUUGUCUCUCUUGACCGGCAGAAGGUCAGUAAUUACUUCCACUACGGGGUUACUCCAGUAGUUACGUCCUGAAGCAUCUCAGGGCAGUGAUUGCCUGAGUGUCUAGUAUCUCCAGUGUGUUUGUGCUCCUAGAUCUAGGUUCUUCACUUGGUGGAGUCUGGGAGUUGUAAAACUCCUUCAUAUUUUGUUCGAAGUGUACCUGCUCAUAAAGACAAGGCAGAGAUCAAGUGCAUGGGCCCUGUUGGUGGAAAACACCAACAGAACCAAAAGUGUAUUUGUUCUUCUCUAACCUUAAGCAUAGUGAGCAAGACAAAGUUGAAGGAUAAUAAGAUCACGAGUGUAGCAUUUAAAGCAUUUGUCAGAUCAGAUCGCUCAACCUAAUGGAAAGAUAAUCUAUCUAUAUUUAUGUUGUUUUGUUUUUUUUUAUAAAAUAUAUCUUCCAAAGAUUGAGUGUGCAACAUUUUAGCUCAUAUGAUUACGAUUGUGGGAUCACAAAGGUGGAAGGACUAAACAUGUUGAAUCGAUUGGGUUCAUUAAUCUAGAGUUGUAAAUCAUACAUGUUUGUCUCUUUUAUUCAUGUGAACGCCAGAACCAAGGAGAAGCUUAUAAAAGUGAUAGUCAAGUACCUUAAGAUGUUACCUUACUUGAAGAGUGAUGGUACAGUAACACCUUGUGGAAGCUUUCCUUUCUUAGCGGUUGUGCAUCGUGUUUGUGGCACCCUCCAUGGAUCAUCUCUUGUGAGCUAUGCCUUCCUUGUGUAAAUUGUUAAACUUCAUGUGCCUCUCUCUUUGUCUCCAAUGUGAGUUUGUCUCAGGACUUCCCAGGUCGAUAUUGAAAGUUUUCCUGCAGGGGUUAGUCCAACAAAAUAUCCAAUAUCUACUAUAGCAUACUAUCGGCUCAAAAAUCAACCUAGACACCAUGUCUAAUUUGAUUCAGGAGGGCUUUUUUAACCUAAGCACCAUGCUUAAUUUAAAACCCCUUGGAAGUAAGAUCAUCAUUCCUAACCUAAGCACCAAGCUCAAUUAAGAGAUAAAUGAAACUACUCCAAACCUAGACAUAUACUAAAGCAAAUAAAGGUAGCAUGAGAGCAUUUAUAGAGAUCUAUUCAAGUGGAGAUGAAGUAGUGUGAUUAGUAUUUAACAAAUUGAGCAUGUCUCAAUGGUAGGGUCGACCAAUAUAGCAACAUGGCAAAGGAUGUUUUUAUAUAAAGUACUCCCUAAAGCUUGAAUUUUGCAAAAUUCAAGUUUGGAUGAAUUUAAUUCAAUGUUGUAUGAUGAUUGGUUGUACAUACCUUGUGCUUGUCAUUCAUCCGAUCUUCUUGCUCCAAUCCUGGAAAGGUUAGUGACAAGAAUACCCGAAGGAAUAUUUUUACAAUUAUCCUUAUAUGCUCAACACACAAGGUAAUGUUGUAAAUAAUUAAAAUCUCAUGUUGCAAUCUGAUCAGUGCUUGUUUUAGGACACUAAGCUUGUCCUUGGGAAACCAUCAAUUUAUGUCAGUGAAGUGGUUUCCCCUCCAACGCUGACCUAUAUCAAGAUCAACUCAACGAGAUCUGCAAAAUUUAUUAUAAACAUAUGCAUCGACAACCGCCCUUUUAAAGUUUUUAUAAAUAGAAAGGAAGAGGGGGUUGGAGAUCUCGAAUGUGGUGAUGUUGGAGAGACCAAUGGAUUGUGAAGAUGUUGCAUAUGAGCAUGGAGUAAAUGAAGUGGCUAUGAAAUAAAUUCCAUGCUCAUUAAUGCUUAGAGUGAAAUCCAUGUGGUACGGUGAAAAUGAUAAGGUGAGUGUGGUAAAAAAAGAAAACAAAAAGGAUAUACGGGCGACUUGGUUCGAAACUAGCACAGCUACCGUUCCCCGGCAACGGCGCUAGAAAGCUUGUUGGGUAUUUUAAACGCAAACAAAAAAAUCCGCAAGCGCACGGAUACCGAUGUAGCUUUCACCCGGGAGUAUUCCAGAGUAUCGAUUUUCCACAAAGAACGUGAGUGUACUAAUUAAGAAUCAAGAUCACCCAAGGAUAACAAUAUAAUUAUUUUUGGUGGGAAGAGAGGAAGUUUCCUGAGAGUUCUCUAGUUGAUCUAAGAAUCAAGAAUUACUUCAAGAUUAUCUAUAUCGGGACAUCAGAGCACUAACCAGAGAAAGAGAUGAGAAGGGGGCUAGGAAGGUCUGACUACGGUCCUACAAACACCGAUCCGAACGUGGUGGAAUACGUCGACCGUUAGGGCUGUCACUACCCUAGGGCUACCACAACAAUCCGUAGGAUUGGGUGCAAUUCCAGGUAAUCGCAAGACUAAACACCACGUCUAAUCUAUUAAUUACUACUCUAGCGUUAUAAAGACUAGAGCACUUGAUGCAAGCGGGAAUCCAAUAAAUAACUUGAAUGUAAAUAAAAGUAAUUAGAGAACUCAGGAGUUAUGAAUUGAAGAACCUGGAGAACGAUGAAGAACGAACCAGUUGCUGCAAAAGUACAAUGUUGAGGAAGAUCCGACAGAUCCGGCUCCUCCUCCGCUCUCCUCUUCUCUCUCCCUAUUUUCUAGAUUACAACUAGAACUAACUAGAACUAGAACUAGAGGAACUAGAACUAGAACUAGAUGAACUAGAACUAGAUCUAGAUGAACUAGAGGUAGAACUAGAAGAACUAGAGAGAUCCUCUCUACUUGGAUGAAGAAUUGAAACCCUAACUUUGAUUCUGUAGAAGAGGUAUGAUCUCCAGGGGCCAGGGGGGUCUGGUUUUAUAGUCCCUUCAAGUGAAUCUGGGCCGUCGGAUUAAACCGACAUUGAUCGUGUGGUUUUCCUUGAAGUAUUAGGUCGGUGGAGCAUGAUCCCCGAACAUCACCCUGAUUGGUCCAGGGGGGAGGGCGGGCGCCCAGUAAGGGAGGGAGGGCGCCCAGUGCCCGGCUCCGUUACGUCUCCCGUUCGGUCCCAUGGCUUCUGGAGUCUUCUAGAUGAUAGAAAAUUGCGCGGCACGUUAAUAUCUCUAUGUAAACCCGACGUGUGGGCCUUUCUUCCGUAUUUCCUGAUAACCCCCUACAGAAAUAGACAAACACCAAAACUUGUGGAAUUCUGUCAAAUAAAACCCUAAGUCUAGGUGUUGGUUGCAUUUGGAUCCUUUUCCAUGAUUAGUUGAUGGUUAAUUGUGAGCAUUAAGGACCGUCAACAGUAACUUGGGUAAUGAAUAUUAAGUUGUCGGUUGAUCGGUACGCCAUGGCUAUGUGUAUCGACUGUCGAGCGCCUCGGCGAAAACUUGCGAGUGGCAUCCUAUUAGUUGGACCCUGUGAAAGGUCUCAUAGUGAGACCCUGCCUGCUCACCUUGGAAGUGUUUUGGGGAGUCGCGACCCCGGGCAAAUGGGAAUCACGACUUGGAGUGAACGUGCACACCUCUGCAGAGUGUAAAACUGAUAUAUCAGCCGUGCUCACGGUCACGAGCGGCCCAGACCCUCACUUGAUGAGCAAAUUGGAUUCACUGGAUACUUGGAGAUGGACCUUGGCGAGGUUGCUACCUCGUGUUUUGGCGGAAUGGCUAUUCCGUGUUGGCAGGAUUGCUAUCCUGUGUUAAUAAUUGGGGUUAAUCCCUAGAUUACUAUAAUAAUUAGGAUAGUACUUUAAAAGAUGCUAAUUACUACUUACACUAAUUAAGGGUUGGGUUUAUGCUACUCAUAAUUAGUAAUAGGUUGUUCUUAUAAUAGUCAUAAUUAAAAGUGAUCAACUAAAAUGCUACCGCAGUCAAACCAAGUCAGCUUUACCUUGUUUUAAGCCUUGCAUGUCAUUACUUUCUGUCAGUGCUUGCUGAGUUCGACAUGAGCUCACCCUUGCUAUAAUCAUUAAAGGUUGCUCGGACGAUCAGGAGUACAAUUACGAUUUCCCUGAGGACUACCCUGAGUCUCCUGGUUGUUAGGCUCGUGUGGUUCUGCCGUCGACCUUCCUGUGGCAAGGUGGUCCUGCUACGUCGGCGUUUAGUUUCCCCUUUAAUUAUGGAGCAGCUUAGCUUAUGUUUCCCCUUCGCACUUUGAUAAACAUUUGGCUUGUAAUAAUGGUACAUUUACUCUCAUUUAUGUAAUUCGUUUGAACACUGUGUCUUGUACCAUUGAUGAUGUCGGUCCAUGUGUGUGAAUUUGAGAUCCUGGCGCACAUGUGAUUUGGCACCCGAAUGCUCUUUUACAUCCGGGUGUGACAGAAGUGGUAUCAAAGCCGUGUUGACCGUAGGAUCACGCAGCCUAGUUAGAAACAGCCGUUUAGAUUGUCCCUUUUGGGUGGAAUACACCAUUGGAUCUACUAACUACCUUACUAACAUGUCUCAUUAGACUUUACCUAUUAGCCUUAUCUACUUACUUUUACUAACAGUUCAGUUUUAUUCACUCUACUUCCUGCAUUUAUUACCUUGUCAUCAUUUAUUACUUCCUGCUUCUCAUAUUGCAUUUAUAUUCUUGUUUCAACUUUUAUUACUUAUUAUUUGAACCUUUCUUGUAUACCUUGUCUUUUAUUAUCAUUCUACUCAUAUUACCUUCUUGUUCCUUGUUUUUCAUUUAUUACUUGAAUUAUGUAUUAUUUCUGCCUUGACAAUAAAUUUCAUUACCUUGUUUUUACUUUAUACCUUCAUUACUUGCUUUCAUAUCUUACCAUAAAUACCACCAAAGUUCAUAUUGUCCAUCCAUUGUAUAAUCUUGGUUCAUCUUCAUUACACAUACACUUUUACUUUCAUUUAUAUUAUUCAUAUAUCUAUCUUUGUCAUGAUCUAUUAACCGUUUCCUGUAUGUCUAUGAUCUUAUGCAUAAGUAGAUGACUCGCCAUUUGACUUGCCGCAAGAGCGUCAUUCGUUUCUGUCCCGUUCAAGCUGUGGAGUUCUCGUUGACUGGUCGCGUGGAUAACAUCGUGUUCCAGCCUAACCAGCAUCUUGAUGACGGUGCUAAUCUCCAAGGCGCGGAACCCUAUGAAGGACAGCAACCACCUCAAGCUCUGGUAGUGCAUGGAAGGGCGCCUUGCUGGGCAGCUGGAGGAGAUGAUCCCUUCGGUGAUGACGAUGACAUGGAUGAUGAUGAUGAGGAUGCACCUGGAGGACCUGGAGGUCAAGAUGGACUUUUUGCUGCUGAUGAUGGGUGGAUCGUGACUGUCUGCACAAGGGAUGGUGGAGGGUGUUUCUUCCACAGCGAGCUGAAGCAUCUCCUUGACCAACAACUAGGACAUGGCAUGUUCUCAGUGGAGUACUGCAGUCAGCACUGGAGUCACCCAGACUACCCGGCGUACUGGAAGGUCUGGGCAGACGUCGGCAGGCCUAACCCAACGCUGAGGGCACUGAGGAUCAUGUCCAUACAUGAAGCUAUGGCAGAGAGGUCUACCCAGAUGGCGGGCAUUAAUGAUGCUGCUCGUCAGGCUUUCUACGCAUACCGUGAUCACUUCUUCGAGGAGAUCAGCCAGGAUGAACGUCGCUACUACCCUCGCCGUCGCCGUGGAGAGUUGGUGAUGACUAUUGCUUCCACCACUGAUGAGCAGGACCCCCGCAUGCACAGGACUGUCAAGCUGGUGGCGGUCACUAACACUGAGCUCAACAGUUCACUAGUGGAGCUGAAGCAAGUGAGGAAGGAGCUAGAUGACGCCAGGAAGAGGAUAGCGCAGCUGGAGGCUCAGAUCACUGGAGUGCCGCCGCCUUCACCUAAGUGGCCUGCUUUCUCUCCGCCUCGUGAAGAUCCAGCCUAUGGAGAUGCCAGCGCUCGUACUACUAUAGAAUAGGAGCUAUUCCCAGCUUAGUAAUAAAUAGUGCCACGCUUAGAACGUUAGCACGAUCUUAGUUAUGCGAGUCUAUUGCUUAGUGGUUUGCUUAGUGUGCUUUGCUUGGUCUGUGUGAGAACUUGAUUUAUUAUUGUGAUAAUGGUGUGAUUUGGAUCUUUGUAAUGAGUGCGAUGAGUUGUGGGUUAUGUCCACAACGCAUCAAGAACAAGAUUAAGUAUUAAGUUAAUAUGAGAUAGUUAGUUUAGGUUAUUAUCGGUCUCCUUUAUUUGUGCUUUAUCAUAUUUCAUAUCGCUUUAUCUUAUCAGUCUUACUCUAUCAUGAUCAGUUCAUUAUCUAUAUAUUACAUCUGUUAUGAGUACUGUGUUGAUCAACUGAAAAAGGGAAGUUACUACCAGCUGGUUCACACUUUGAGGAAAGAGUAUGACUUUGCAGUUUACAUUACAGCUCAGGUUUACGCAUAUGAACUACAUCUGAUUUUAUUAUAUUAUUUCUAUACAUCAGAUGCCUGUCAACACUAGGAGCAACACCAAUGGAGGAAACAAUGAGCAGUCCAACAACAACAACAAUAACAACAAUGAUCACAGCGGGAUUAAUGCCAACCCUCCUCAUCUGAAUCAGCCCAUGACCAUAGAGCAGCUGAUGACUAUGCAGACUUAGCUGAUGCAAGGGAUGACACAUAUUAUGAACAACAUGCAGCAGAACCAAAAUCAGAAUCAGCAUCACAAUCAGAACCAGCAUCAAGGAGGUAACAACGCGUUUGCCUCACCUAGGGACAAGCGUGGAGAGUUCAUGAAGGGACGUCCACCGUUCUUCUCUCACUCAGCUGACCCUAUGCAAGCUGAGGAUUGGCUUAAAGCUGUGGAGAAGUAGCUGGUCAUUGCUCAGUGCAAUGACAGGGAAAAGGUUCUGUAUGGCUCUAGGCAGCUUCAGGGAGCCGCACAGGAUUGGUGGGAUUCGUACUGCUUUGCGCAUCAGGACCCAGAUACUAUCACUUGGGAUGAGUUCAAGGUCGCCUUCAAGACUCAUCAUGUGCCUGCUCGAUUGGUGAAGCUGAAGAAGAAGGAGUUUCUGUCUCUGAAGCAGGGCUCCAUGAUAGUUUGUGAGUACCGCGACAAGUUCACUCAAUUGUCGCAGUAUUGCCCGAAUGAGGUGGAGAACGAUGAAGACAAGCAAGAUCACUUCCUGGAAGGUUUUAAUGAUGGUCUGUCUUACAUGAUGUCAAAUGUCAAGUAUGCCAGCUUCCAAGAGAUGGUGGACAGGGCAUUGGUGCUUGAAAGCGCCGCAAGAUGGAAGACAAGAAGAGGAAGUAUAAUUCCUCUUAGCAGCAGGCUGGUGCCAGCCGUCCCCGCUACAACAAUCAGCAAGGCCCUCAGUCUCGCCCUGCAUAUCAGUCUGGUAACCAAGGACAGCAGCAGAAUGUCAGGUACAGUAAUCAGAGUCAGCAGACGAGUCAGCGCUACAACAACAACCAAGUGCAGCGCCCCGCUAGUCAGGCGACUCGUCAGAAUGCCCCAGCACCAUCAGGCUCUCGCCAGAACUCCAACACUGUCCCAGCAAAGCCCAAUGCCAACCCCACCCCCACUGGAAAUACCUGCUUCAAGUGUGGUCAGCUUGGACACUACGCGAAUGCUUGCCCCCAGAGACAGAAGAACAACAAUGGAAGGGUGAAUCAUGUGAAGCUGGAAACUGCUGAGGAGGCUCCAGAUGUGGUAGUUGGUACGUUCCUUGUCAACUCUUGCCCAACUACUGUUUUGUUUUAUACUGGAGCAUCACAUACUUUUAUAAGUGCACAGUUUGUUGAGAAACAUAGUAUAGCCACCUGUACCAUGCAAAACACCAUGAUAGUUAAAUCACCUGGGGGAAAGAUGCAUACUAAUACUUUGUGUCCGGGAAUGAGCAUUAAAAUAAGGGGGGUAGAUUUUCCUGUCAAUCCUAUUGUGUUGGGUUCAGAAGGUUUAGAUAUGAUAUUGGGAAUGAGAUGGUUGUCCAAGUUUAAGGGUACUAUUCAGUGUGCUGAGAAGUUAGUUGCUCUAACAGCACCUAGUGGGAACAGAAUUGAGGUCAUAGUUACUAUGUCACCUAGCAGUGAAGGAACAGUUUACCAUGUGAGCAGUGGGUCAGUAGAGGAUAUUCGAGUUGUGAAAGAAUUCCCUGAUGUGUUCCCAGAGGAUUUGCCAGGUAUGCCACCUGAACGUGAGAUUGAAUUUGUUAUUGAUUUAUUACCUGGUACUGCACCCAUAUCUAAGAGACCUUAUAGAAUGGCUGUUAAUGAGUUAGAAGAACUUAAGAAACAACUAAGGGAGUUACAGUCUAAGGGGUAUAUCCGUCCUAGUUCCUCACCUUGGGGAGCCCCAGUUAUUUUUGUAGAGAAGAAGGAUGGAACACAGAGGAUGUGUGUAGACUAUAGAUCUUUGAAUGAGGUCACAAUUAAGAACAAAUACCCUUUGCCUAGAAUAGAGGACUUGUUUGACCAGUUAAAAGGAGCUUGUGUGUUUUCCAAGAUAGAUCUGAGAUCAGGUUAUCACCAGUUGAGGAUUAAACCUAGUGAUAUUCCAAAGACUGCCUUCACCACCAGAUAUGGACUUUAUGAGUAUACAGUUAUGUCUUUUGGGUUAACUAAUGCUCCAGCUUACUUUAUGUAUCUGAUGAAUAAAGUUUUUAUGGAGUAUUUGGAUAAGUUUGUGGUAGUCUUUAUUGAUGAUAUCUUGAUCAACUCCAAGACUGAGGAAGAACAUGAGGAACACCUGAGGCUUGUGUUGCAGAAAUUGAGGUAACAUCAGCUCUAUGCCAAGUUGAGUAAGUGUGACUUCUGGUUGAAGGAAGUGUCUUUUCUUGGUCAUGUCAUUUCAAAUGGUGGAGUUGCUGUUAGUCCGAAGAAUGUGGCAGAUGUUCUUAAGUGGAGUCCGCCUCAGACUGUUGGAGAAAUCAUAAGUUUUCUUGGAAUGGCUGGUUACUAUCGGAGAUUCAUUGAAGGAUUUUCCAGUAUUGCUAAGCCCAUGACUGCUUUGCUAGAGAAGGGUAAGCCAUUCAAGUGGAAUGAACAGUGUCAGGCUAGCUUUGAGGAGUUGAAGAAGAGGUUGACUACUGCACCAAUUCUGACUUUGCCUGAUGUGACUAAAAGUUUUUCUAUCUAUUGUGAUGCUUCCAAGCAAGGUUUGGGAUGUGUACUGAUGCAAGAGGGAAAGGUGAUUGCCUAUGCAUCUAGACAGUUGAAGAAACAUGAGGUGAAUUAUCCAACUCAUGAUCUUGAGUUAGCAGCAGUGGUCCAUUCACUGAAGAUCUGGAGACACUAUAUUUUGGGUCAUAAGUGUGAUAUCUACACGGAUCACAAGAGUCUGAAAUACAUCUUCACUUAGAAUGACUUGAACCUGAGACAGAGAAGAUGGUUAGAAUUGAUCAAGGACUAUGAACUAGAGAUUCAUUACCACCCUGGCAAAGCGAAUGUAGUUGCUGAUGCUCUGAGUAGAAAGAGUCAAGUGAAUAUGUUGGAAGCCACGGAGUUACCGAUGGAACUACUGGCAGAAUUUGAGUAUCUCAAUUUGAGGUUUGUUGCUAACACCCAAGGUACUUCCAUGGACAUAGAACCAACUCUUGAGCAAGAGAUCAGAAAAGGUCAGAAAGAGGAUGAAGAGAUCAAAAAGAUACUUAAGCUAUUAGAGGAAGGUAGAGCACCUGGAUUCAAAGUUGAUCAAGAAGGAAUUGUUUGGCAUAAGGACCGAUUGUGUGUGCCUGAUAUUCAGAGAAUCAAGGAUGUGAUACUGAAGGAGUGCCAUGAAUCUGCUUACUCUAUUCAUCCAGGAGGUACUAAGAUGUACCAGGACUUGAAACAAAACUAUUGGUGGCCUGGUAUGAAGAAAGAUAUUGGUGAGUAUGUGGCAUUGUGUGACACCUGUCACAGAGUGAAAGCGGAACAUCAGAGGCCAGCAGGAUUGUUGCAACCGUUGAAGAUACCUGAGUGGAAGUGGGAUGAGAUCAGCAUGGGCUUCAUAGUGGGAUUGCCGAGAUCUCAACGAGGAUAUGACUCGAUAUGGGUUGUAGUAGAUCGAUUGACCAAGGUAGCUCAUUUCAUACCGGUCAAGACUACCUAUCGUGGGGAUCAGUUAGCAGAGAAGUAUAUGGAACGGAUUGUGUGUCUGCAUGGAGUUCCUAAGAGGAUUGUGUCUGAUAGAGGUACACAGUUUACAUCAAAGUUUUGGGAGAAGUUACAUGAUGCUUUGGGAACCGAGCUCAGAUUCAGUACAGCUUAUCACCCUCAGUCCGAUGGUCAGACAGAGAGAGUCAACCAAAUAGUGGAGGAUAUGCUCAGGUCUUGUGCUUUACAGUAUGGGGAUAGUUGGGAUACUAGUUUGCCCUACGCCGAGUUCUCCUAUAACAAUAGUUAUCAGACUAGUCUUAAGAUGACUCCUUUUGAAGCCUUGUAUGGAAGGAAGUGUAGGACUCCAUUGUUCUGGAACCAGACUGGUGAAAGGCAAGUGUUCGGCCCUGAUUCAUUGAGAAUAGCCGAAGAAAGGGUUUAGUUAAUCCGACAGACUCUGAAAGCAGCUCAGUCUAGACAGAAGAGUUAUGCAGAUGUGAGACGAAGGGAACUUGUGUUUCAGGCAGGUGAUUAUGUAUACCUGAAAGUGUCUCCGAUGAGAGGCCUAAAGAGGUUCAAUGUCAAGGGAAAGCUAGCUCCAAGGUAUGUUGGUCCUUUCAAGAUUUUGGAGAGGAAAGGAGAGGUGGCUUAUGAGCUUGAGCUGCCUGUUAGUUUAUCCAAUGUGCACAAUGUCUUCCAUGUCUCCCAAUUCAAGAAAUGCUUGAGAGUGCCUGAGGAACAGUUGCCACUAGAGGAACUGGAUUUACAGGAUGAUCUAACUUAUGAAGAGAGUCCUAUCAAAGUUCUGGACAUAGCAGAGAGAAUUACCAGGAGUAAAACUAUUAGGAUGUGUAAAGUACAAUGGAAACACCAUUCUGAGGAAGAGGCAACAUGGGAAAGAGAAGAUGAUCUGAAAUCCAAAUACCCUCAGUUAUUCCCUGGUUCAUCCUAAUCUCGAGGACGAGAUUCUUUUAAGGGGGUAGGUUUAUAACACUCCAAAUUUUUGAAUUUGAUUUAAUUUUGGCUUAGUUUGAAUUUUUGAGAAUUACUAAAUAAUUUACAAAAUUAAAUAAAAUGAAAUAUAAGGUAGAAAACUUGUUUGUGUGCAUUCAUACUGCUGCAUAAUUUUUUCUUUUGACUUAUGUUUAUUUGCUUGUCUUUGUUUGAGUUUUGGAGCAAGAAAUAAAUAGGAGAAAUCUGUUAAAAAAAAGAAAAAGAAAAGGGGCAAGCGCCCUGGGCCGGCCUCCCCCCUCUCCCUGCACGCCCGCGUGGGCCUCUGCGGCCCAAGCCGCGGCCCAGCCGCACAACAGCUGCGCGUCCCUGCCCUCCUGCCGCCCGCUGCCGCUGACGGGUGGGCCCCACCCGUCAGAGCCGCCCCCAACCUCCCGUCCGAAACGGACGGCGCAGCCGCGCCGCCUCCCGGUUUCCGAGCCGCACGCGAACCGAGGUUCGCCCGCGCCUAUAAAUAGCGUCCCUCAGUCGCGCACGCGCCCCUACGCAAACCCUAGCCGCUCUCGCCGAAUUCCACAGCGCCGCCGCCGAACUCGUCGAAAUCCGCGCCGCCGCCGUCGAGCUUCUCUUUGCCGUCGACGUUUCGCGAAGGUGAGACCCCCAUUGCGUUCGCCUCGCCGAGCCGCACCCGCUGGUGCCCUUGCCUCGCCCUCUCGCGCCGCGGACCGCCGCCACGGCGAGCUCCCGCCCGCCGCCCAUGGCGCCACCGCCGCCCGGCCUGCGCCCGCUCCCGCUCCGGCGCGCGGUCCACCGUGGACCGCGGCUUGCCGCCCCCGCACGCCGGUUCACGUGGACCCGGCCCAUGCAGCCGGCUCGCCCGCUCCCGCAGGCGCGGUCCACCAUGGACCGCGGCCCCCCUGCCCCGCGCCCCGGUCCACCGCACAGUGCCGUGGACCGGCCAGCCCGCCACCGCCACGUGGCCAACCUGGCCACGCGCUCGCGCCGCCCCCUGCACUUUUGCAGAAAAGCCCCUCCCUUUAUAGAAAAUUAACCCGCCAUCCUAUGCAGUUCAAAAAUAAUUAGUUUUAUGCCCUUAGUUUUGCGGUUUAACCCCUGGCUUGGUUAGAAUUUAUAGUUUUAAUCCAAAAUGCUUUUUAAUUCAGUUUUAAUUAGUUUUAAUUACGAAAAAUAGUUCAGUUUAUCUAUAGAUUUGCCAUCCAACUUGUUUUAGCCAUAACUUUUGCAUCGUAACUCCGAUUUAGGUGAUUCUGGUCGUUUCGUUUCGUCGAGUAGAAUACAGUAGUACAGUUGCUUUCUGUUUUCACAUGCUUUGGCGUACUGUUUCUGAUUAAGCUUGUUUGCUUGCAUGUAUUGCUUCGUUUGUGUGAUGUUUGUCGCGUAUAGCCAACGAGACGUUCGUGAAGGAAGAGGAUCAGGAUCCCGCUGAGUUUGAGCAACCCGACAACGAUCCAGGCAAGUGCAGACACCGUUUGAUCAUUUUGAACCUAUUCGUUAAUGUCAUUUACUUUAUAUGCAUGUGUCUAAUGAAUGCAAACCCUAAGGACAUGACUAGCUUACUUAUUAUUCCUUGUUCACCUGGGGCUAUGUAUAUGGGUAGACUAGGCUAUACUAGGUUUGCUUAGCUGCUCUACUCAUCUUAUACACAUGCCUAAACAAGUAAUAAUCUCUACUCAACUUGAUGCUUAAACUGUGCUGAACCUUUGGUCACUGCGGUGAUGGCGAUGAUGGAUGCUUACGAGCAUCGUAAUGAUGGUGGUGACAGGGGGAGCGGGUACCGUUGGUGGUCCGGUUUGCCGGGCGUACCCGUCUCUGCUCUCCGUAAGGACUUAGUCAGGGAGCGCCCCCCCUGGGACUUACAGUGCAGCUCCAAGCUAUAUGGCUCUAGCUUGACUAAUUAGCAGGACCUCCACUAGUAGGGUGUUACUUUCCGGGUAGGCGUGAGGAAGUAACUUGGGUAAUGAAUAUUAAGUUGUCGGUUGAUCGGUACGCCAUGGCUAUGGGUACCGACUGUCGAGCGCCCCAGCAAAAACUUGCGAGUGGCAUCCUAUUAGUGGCAUCCUGCUACGUCGGUGUUUAGUUUCCCCUUUAAUUAUGGAGCAGUUUAGCUUAUGUUUCCCCUUCGCACUUUGAUAAACAUUUGGCUUGUAAUAAUGGUACAUUUACUCUCAUUUAUGUAAUUCGUUUGAACACUGUGUCUUGUACCAUUGAUGAUGUCGGUACAUGUGUGUGAAUUUGAGAUCCUGGCGCACAUGUGAUUUGGCACCCGAAUGCUCUUUUACAUCCAGGUGUGACAUCUAGUCAUCGAACGGAGCCUGCCACCCCAAUCACCUUGAAUUUGGGUCUAGAUUGUGACCAGGUGGCUCCGCCUUCUGAGUCAUGCUCCGUUUUGUCCUUCAUCAACAAGGAUGAUGGUGCCUCUGCCAACGCUGAUCGUCCCUUCACAGCCACCUAUGUGUGUGGCCAGACUGGACACACGCAACGACACAGACCUAGUGCGUAAGAGGAGUGCAAGACUAGCUGCCAAAAGCGGGUUCUGGGCUAUCAAGCCGGACGCUCAGGCUAGGAAGAUUCUGAUGAAAACGUUGGGCGAGGAUGUCUCAACAGAAAAGCCGGAUGAGGCGGCGUUUGAGGAGUAUUAUGUGGCCUUCUAUUUGCCGCUUGAUCCUACCAGGCGCAAAGGGAUGUGUGAGCUGUUCCUAGGUCAUCGGGGCCGUCAUCGCGUGACUUCGAAGGUGGUCGCCUAAACCCCAUGGUCUACCGUCGCUAACAUUGUAUCUGAUGAAUAGUUCUAGAAUUUUGAUUUGGAAUGUGUGUGGCAUUAAUAUGUGUGCGCAUCGUAGCGUCAUCCAUGGAGCUUUUUGGAAAUAGACCAUUAUGAGAAGUGGGCUUCGGUGAUAUGCCAUUCCACAACAGGGCUUCGCUAACUUGCCAUUAUAAAACACGACCCACCCGCUAGAAUGCCAUACGAUGCCCUUAAACAAAAUUUUUUGACUCAUGUAAUGCUGUCCUUUCCUUGUUCCUUUCGUAGGUGCACAGUUGGACAGAACGGACUCGCACAAAACAGAUCGAGUAGCUUCUUCUUUGACUUUGUGCGCUUCUUCUCCGCCCCCACGGCAGUGCUGCAACCCACCAAUCUGUUCUAGCUCUCGCAUGCUCGCUCACCUCCCCACGCCCUCAAUGCCCAGCAUCGCCCAAAUGGCCUGCUCGCCAUGGUCGGCCCUAGCUCGGACAAGAAGCAAUAGCUCGAAGAGGGGAGGGAGCACAGGGAGGGGCAGCACUAUGGGGGAGAGCUGACCGCGGUGGGGGCACUUGUCUUGGGGAUCUUCUCACCAUGGGGGCACUCGUCAUGGGGACACCCAGGACAUAACCAGGUACCCAGCUCCAGCCGAUCCAUUCUACGAAGGUUCGACCCCCUUCAUUCUAUCACAGGCAUGAGCUCCAAGAAGAAGAAGAAGAUAAGGACCAGGGGCAUAAGAGGAAUAAAAGGACUCUAAGGGCAUCAGAUGGUAUUCUAGCGGGUAGGUCAUGUUUCAUAAUGGUAAGUUAGCGAAGCCCCGUUGCGUGAUGUCAUAUCAUCGAAGCCCACUUCUCGUAAUCACUACCGGAACCCCUAGCUAUGCCGUGAGCUAGGGACUUUGCCGUGUGCUUCCCAUUAGGCACACGGCAAAGAUCAAUUUUGCCAAGCACCAUAAGCCCGGCACACGGCAUAUCGAAAACUCUCGGCAUAAACAUGGACAUCGAUACAGUCCUGAUAAGAUGGUACAUCCUUCGAAUGGUGAAGCAUGGACCUAUUUUGUUAGUAUUCAUCAUGAGAAAGCUCUAGAGGCUCGUAAUGUACGUGUUGCCUUUGCCACAGAUGGGUUCAAUCCUUAUGGAAUGAUGGCUUCCCCAUACACUUGUUGGUCCGUGUUUGUGAUACCACUCAAUCUUUCUCCCGGUGUAUGCUUUCAAGCACAGAACAUAUUUUUGUCUUUGAUAAUUCCUGGUCAUCCGGGCAAUAAUAUGGGUGUGUAUAUGGCGCCUCUGAUCGAUGAAUUGAUCAAAUCUUGGGAUGAAGGGGUGUUGACAUAUGACCGAGCUACAAAAACCAACUUCACGAUGCAUGUUUGGUACCACUACUCCCUGCAUGACUUCUUGGCAUAUGGGAUUCACUACAGCUGGUGUGUUCAUGGGAAGUUUCCAUGCGCAAUAUGCAAGACAAAUGUCCAGUUCAUUUGGUUGAAGAAGGGAGGCAAAUAUUCUUCAUUUGACAAACAUCGACAAUUCCUCCCAAUUGAACAUGCAUUUAGAUGAGACAUCAAGAACUUUACGAAAGAUGUGGUAGUUACAAACCCGCCACCGGCGAUGAUGAUGGGUGCUGAGGUCCGUGCUGUCAUCAACAUGCAUGGACACAUAAGUCGCGCUUGGAGAGGCUCCCCUAUUACCUAGACCUGCUACUUCCACAUAACAUUGAUGUAAUGCACACUAAAAAAAUAUCACUGAGGCACUCUAGGAACAAUCAUGGACAUUCAGGAUAAGUCAAAAGAUAAUGCGAAGGCUAGAAUUGAUUUGGCAACAUUAUGUGACAAACCAAAUCAAGAAAUGCGGCCACCUAGGGUAGGCAAGAAUUGGAGACGACCUCUGGCCGAUUACAUGUUGACCAGGCCUCAAAGGAGAGAAGUACUGGAAUGGUUCCAAAAGUUAAUGUUUCCUAAUGGGUAUGUAGCGAAUCUGAGAAGGGGAGUGAACUUGUCUACUAUGCGAAUCAAUGGGCUUAAGAGUCAUGACUACCACAUCUGGAUUCAACGGCUUCUUCCAGUGAUGGUACGAGGCUAUGUCGCAGAUCAUGUGUGGCAAGUGCUUGCAGAAUUAAGAAAUUUCUUCCGAUAGCUUUGUGCUAAGGAGUUAUCUCGGUCCGUGGUUAAAGACCUAGAAAAAAUGGCACCUGUGUUGCUCUAUAAGUCGGAGAAGAUCUUCCCACCAGGCUUCUCCAAUCUGAUGCAACAUUUGAUUUUACAUCUCCCGUAUGAGGCACGAAUGGGGGGACCUAUGUAGUUUCGUUGGUGCUAUUUCAUUGAGAGCACCCUAAAGGUUGUUAGAAACAAAUGUAGAAAUAAAUGCAAGACUGAAGCUUCAAUCGCAGAGGCAUCGAUUCUACAGGAGGUGUCAAACUUCACAACAAAAUACUAUGGUGACAACCUUCCUAGCAUACAUAAUCGUCUGCUUCGUUAUAAUGUUGGCGAAAAUGAAUCCAAUCUCAGCCUUUUUUGUGGGCAACUUGGAAGUGCAAGUGAUUGGACCCAGAAGACCUUGAAAUCUGAUGAGUGGCGCAUUAUCAUGUUAUAUGUACUGUCCAAACCUUACAGAAGUGCAGCCAUACAUAGGGUAAGUCACUAUUCUCAACAAAUUUGUUCUCGAAUAGUCAAUAUUCUACCUUGAACCCCCUUGUUCCUCGCUGGUACAGGGAAUUUCUUCAUGAAUUCUGGCAUCUAUCUAGGGAUCCUAUCCCUCAGGAAUCUGAGACCCUUCUUAAAAAGGGAGCAGGAAGUGGAACACCCGAUUUCAUUUCAUGGUUCAAACAUAAGGUAUUGUCCAAUUUAGUUUAAUAUUUCAAUUCGAUCAUACGUGCAAAUCAUAUAACUAACUAGCUCGCCCGAGCUUGCAGGGCCAAAAUGAUGAAAACAUGAGUGCCAAGUUGAGACAGGUUGUUGAUGGUUUUGCAUAUGGAGUCAAGACAUUUUCUGAUUAUGAUGUUAAUGGCUAUCGAUUUCAUACAACAAGACACGAGCAACGUCGGCCCAAUCAAACAACCACAAAUAGUGGAGUUUUCACGCGCGGAGAUGAUGGGGUGGAUUACUAUGGAAGAGUUGAAGAAAUAUACGAACUCUCAUUCUAUGGCUGCAAACCUCUUAAUCCCGUCAUAUUCAAAUGUCAUUGGUUUGAUCCUGCAGUAACGAGAAAGACACCUAAUCUUGGUCUAGUUGAAAUUUGACAGGAUUGUGAGUUAGCAGGAGAAGAUGUCUAUAUCGUGGCUCAACAGGCCACACAAGUUUAUUAUCUUCCAUACCCAUGCCAAACCAAAGAGAAUCUUAAAGGUUGGUAUGUUGUGAACAAGGUAUCACCACACGGUAAACUACCUAUGCCAAAUGAUGACGACUACGUCUUUAACCCUAACACAUAUGCCGAAGAGUUCUUUCAAGAAGAGGGGCUAGAAGGGACUUUUGCAAUAGACUUAACCGAGCCGAUCGGAAUGGAAGUAGAUUAUGAAAGAGUUGUUGAAGACGACAAUGGAGAUGAGGUUGAAAAUGCGAAGGACAUGGAAUUACUUCGGCGAUUACAUAUAGGCGAUGUCAAUAAUGCCAACAUUCCUCCUUUGGACGGAGCGGAUCUUAUCGACAUGUAUGAUAGUGAUGACCCCACUUAUGAUCUAGCUAAUCCGGAUCAUGAAGAAUAUUUCUAAUACAUGUAAUGCUACAUUACCUUCUAUUUAUGUUUCAUUUACUUUGCAUCUAUUUAUAAUUUUGUCUUAUUUAUGUUGCAUCUAUUUCUAACUAUUUUUUGUCUCAUUUUGUAGGUGCGAGAAUAAAGAUGGUGGGCGGUAUGAGGAAGUUACAGGCGAUGUACAAACAAACGGCCUCGAAAGCUAAAGGGUUGGUAACGGUUGGAGGCAAAGGUAAGGGUGGAGUAGGAGGAGCAGGAGGAGGAGGACGACGACGAGGACGAGGGGGACGAGGACGACGGGGUCGUGAGCCUACCCCACUACCAUCGCCACUGCCUCAGGACAGGGACGAGGAUGAGGACGAGGAUGAGGAUGAGGAUGAGGAUGAGGAUGAGGAUGAGGAUGAGGACGAGGAGGAGCAGCAGCAGGAGUUGCAGGAGGAGGAGGCGGAGGACGAUGAGGACGAGGGGGACGAGGACGGCGAGGAUGAGGGGGAGGAGGCAGGGGGCACCGCUUCUGGUUCGACGGAGGCAGGCCCCUCUUCUGGUCAGCCGGUUGUCUACUUGAGAGGUUCCUCGCGUCUCCUGAAGCGAGGGAUGCCUAAUGAGAUACUUCUGGUGAUUCGGCCAAGUGGUGAAUGGUUUCAUCAUUGUGUAAGACGGUUACCACAGUCGCCAGCCCAAUGGCAUUCUGGAGAUUUUGUGCAGGCGCCACUUUCGUGGCAUUGUUCAACAUGCCAAAAAAAUGGAGCCAGCUUACACGUUUGCGCACUAUACCUCUGCCCCCGUCACAGAGGAUCGCAGGGGAAGGUCUUUGACAAUAAGGCAGUGCGAGUGUGCACGGAGCUAUGGGUAAGUCUUUGUAUAAACCAACAUUGCUCAAUACAUCACAUUCACUGUACAUUCUUCAAAUAAUAAUUAUUUGACAUAUCAUGUCUCUAUCUAGGAUUUCUUCAGAUGCGAGCCUGGAUAUGAGGAUGAGGCUCCCCAAGUGGCUUUUAAUGCAUGCCACAAGCUCGUACUAGACAUGCACUACAAGUGUCAUGUCCAGUCUAUCAUGACGUACCACGCCUAGUACCUUUCUCGGAAGGUGACCAAAACUGAAGCCAGAACCAUGAUGCUGACCAAGGAAGAAUUCAUGAAGGUAAAUAUGCAGCACUAAUAAUGUUUUCUUUCCUAAAAUUAAGUAACCUUAAUAUGAUCUUCUUAUAUGUCACAUGCUUGAUGUCGUGUAGGUUCCUCUAUGGUGGUGCAAUGCAAACGUCUAGUGCUAGGAGGCAAUUGUGGACAGGUGGUUCACUCCUGAGUGGUCAGAGUCACACAGUGCUAGCAGGGAGCGGCGCGCCCUGAUGUAAGGUCCGUCACACCAUCAAGGCAGUCUUAGCCUUGAUGGAUAUAGAGCUAAAUGGGUAAGCUAAAUCCACUUCUUUCGUAUAAUGCUCAAUUUGGCAUAAUUUCUAAUCAUCCUAUUGUUUCUUUUGCAGUCGCAGGCACAUGAUGGUCAGGAAGUCUCCACCUUCUAGGCAUACGCAAUUGGGCACCAGGACAAGUACAAGAUAACCGUUUGCUAGAACCCAGAUGCCCUGGCCUCGUCGUACAGCAACCCCUCCAUCCAUGCACGCCUCACUCAGUACAUAGAGACGACAAAGGAGGUAUAUGGGCCAGACUACGAUCCCACCGCCCAUGACAUUGAUGGAGAAGUCAUCAUGAGGGCGGGAGGAGGGAAGGUUCGUGGUCGGUACAUGAUUGGUGAAGGCAGCUUGGAUUCCAGCACUGUUCCCAGCCUAGCCCAAAUCCGAGCAAGGAGCACAAGCUCGAGCGCGCCCAUACGCCAACGGCCGAACACUACGAUGAGCAUUGUGGCAUCCCUCUAGGUAAUUUCUGUUUUAUUCACCGUUCAUUGAUUUCGACAUACGUUUGCUUUGCAUAGUAACAUUGCCGUCAAUUUUGUAGGAGCGGCUGGCCGAAUCAGAGAGGCUAAGGGAGGAACAAAAAGUUAGGCAGGAGACAGAACAUGAGGUUGUUCAAUAGAGGAUGAACGCGAUGUUCAAGUACAUGCAAAGUCUUGGAGCAGCUGUAGGUCAACCUCCUCCACCCGAUUUAUUCCAACCUAUACCUCCUACUGUCAACACUCCUAUGAGUUUGUCUUCUAUUUAUAACGUUUGUUAAGUCCAUAUAUCCGUUGUUAGACAACACUUCUAUUUAUAACCUUUGUCUGACACAUGCAACAUAUUCAACUUUGUGUAGAAUUAAUUGGCGGCGUCAAACGAUCCACCUCCUAGGCAACAAGGAGGAUCGGGGUGGGACGCAUGGAGUGGGCCGAGGUAGGUGGAUUGUGAUACUUGAUUGCCGGGGGAUCAAUUGUUGGAUGGACCAUGGACUUGUGAUGGUUAUGGACAUUAUGUGAUGCUUGUGGGAUUACAUGUGUUGUUCAUGGAGUUAUGUGUUGGUUGUGGCCUACAUGUGAUGGACACGGAGUUUAUGUGGUUGAUUUGUCGUAUUUAUGAUAUAUAUGUGAUCUGUGAUGGUUAUGGAUAUAUAUAUGAUCUGUGAUCUAUAAUGUGAUAUAUAUAUAUAUAUAUAUAUAUAUAUAUAUAUAUAUAUAUAUAUAUAUAUAUAUAUAUAUAUAUAUAUAUAUAUAUAUAUAUAUAUAUAUAUAUAUAUAUAUAUAUAUAUAUAUAUAUAUAUAUAUAUAUAUAUAUAUAUAUAUAUAUAUAUAUAUAUAUAUAUAUAUAUAUAUAUAUAUAUAUAUAUAUAUAUAUAUAUAUAUAUAUAUAUAUAUAUAUAUAUAUAUAUAUAUAUAUUUGUUUUGAUGGCGAAGCAACAAAACAAGCAAAAAAAUGACCAUAGAGGCCGUGCGUUGCACACGGCAAAGAAGCUCUUUGCCGUGAGCUUGCCCACAGCGCACAGCAAAGAUGGGGGGCAGAACCACCCCAUCUGGGAAGUGUCUUUGCCGUGUGCUGUUGCCCUGGCAUACGGCAAAGGGUUUUCUGAUUUUUUAAUUAACAAAUAUCACUAUGCGAAACUCUUUUUUCUUUUUUAAAAAAUAAUUACUUUGCCGUGAGCCCUAUGACCUGCCAUACGGCAAAGCUAGCCGUUACUGUGCCCUCGGUCGUAAGGUUGCUUUUGUGUGCCGGGUGCAACAAAGACGCACGGGUAAGAUUUUGCCGCGUGCGCAAUGAUCAGGACCCCUGGUGCCUUACGGUUGUGUACGGCCCGGUCCAGGAGGUGGACAAGGCUGCGUUCCUAGAGGAGCUGCGCACAGUUCUCUAGGUAACGGAUGGCCCAUGGUUGGUGGUCGGCGAUUUCAACGUGAUCUAUCAGGCGACGGACAAAAACAAUGAUGGAGCUUUCAGAGCUUUACUUGCAUGGCCGUCGCUACACAUGGUCGAAUGAGUGUCGACAUCCGACGCUAGAAAGGAUUGACAGAGCCUUUGCAACGGUACCUUGGCUUGAGGCCUUCCCUUGUCAUCACCUUCGUUGCGUGUCGACGGAUUGUUCAGAUCAUGCGCCCUUGCUACUUGAUCUGUGCACUGAACCUUGGGCUAGGCCCCGGUUUAGAUUUGAGGCAAUCUGGGUACGCUUUGACGGUUUCCUUGAGGCAGUCAGCUCGGCGUGGGUUUGUACCCUGGUCAACGUCGAUCACUGUCGUGUGUUGGAUUUCUUGCUCAGGAGAACGACCAGGGCUCUAAAAAGCUGGAGCUCUCGGCAUGUGGGCAGUGUCCGCUUCCAGCUAUUUGCUGCACGUGAGCUCAUCUCGCAUCUAAACAGGGCGCCAGAUGAAAGGGGCCUAACCGAUGAGGAGCACAUGCUAAGGAAAGACCUCAAGCGUGAAUCGCUUGGUCUGGCGUUGCUGGCCAGAACCAUUGCCAGACAACGGUCGCGUAUCAGAUUUCUUGGUGAAGGCGAUGCAAACACAAUGUUUUUCUCUAUUUGCAAGCCUGUCACCGCAAACGCAAGAACACCAUCAACGCACUACAGCAUGGUGGUCAGUUGUUCACAGCCGAGGAGGCCAAAUCAGAACUUGUGUAUGAGUACUACAAGGAGAUUCUGGGGAAGCAUUUGUCCCGUUCACAUGGGAUAAAUUUCCAGCAGCUCGGGAUUCCGCAGUUGGACUUGGUGUGCCUGGGGGAUUGUUUUACUGAGGCUGAAAUUUGGGACACGAUCAAGGAGCUGCCCAGCGACCGUGAACCAGGGCUGGAUGGCUUCACUGGUCUAUUCAACUGCUACAGAAUCGGCCUUUAGUUCCGGUCGGGAAGGGGUUUUAGCCCCGGAUUUCGAGCGGGGACUACGCUUUCGAGACUAAAGGCUCCCCUUUAGUCCCGGCUCCGUGCACUGGGGCCAAAGCCCCCCUUUAGUCUCGCCUUUAGUCUCGGAUGGUAUUACCGGGACUAAAGGGUACUGCCAGCGGUGCCACGCAACAACACCCUUUUGUGCCGGCUGGUAGUACCGCCCGGGACUAAAGGGGCCUCUUGUUUUUCCUUUUUCUUUUCUUUUCAGUUCUUUUUUUUAGUUUUGUUUAUUUAUACAAUAGGUUUUCCAAUAUGUAUAUAUAUAUAUACACCAAUAAGCUUAUUUUAUACAUAUAUAAUUGAAUUAUAUAACUACAUAUACAUAUAUAUAAAUAUAUGCACAUACAUAUAUAGAAGUUAUUCGCCAAAUUUAUUACUGCACAAGUUGUACUCCAAAGGUUACUCUAAACCUAUUACAAGUUUACAAAGCAUACAAAUGAUCAUCAUUGUUUGGAAUCAUCAUCUCGUUAGGAUUAUAGUGGAACUCGCCGCUUGGAUUUAUAACUUGUUCCCGAAGAAAUCCUGCUAUUGCCUCUUGUAUUGCUUUGAGUUGUUCAUGUUGCAUGAGUUUUUGCUUCAACCAUUCAGUCUUCAAUUUGAAUUAAAAGAAGGUAUUAGUUAUAUCAAGAUUAUCAAUAGUAAUUCGAGAGAAAAUAAAAAGAGACAUGUGUUACAUACUCUGAGGUAUUCUUCAGGAAUUCUAUUUGUUACUGCCAUAAUAUACUCGCAAACGUAGUAUCCACAUAAGUUGUUCCUCGGUUCUUGUCUCAAGAUCCACUGUAGGAUGUAAACAUCUCGUAAAAAAGACAAGAUAUAAGAUAUACCACGUACAUUGGCGAGAAGGAUAAACGUACUUGUAGCUGUAUUAUCUUUAGUGGCGCCCUACGUUCAGAUAGAUGUUCCCAAACAAUGAAUCUUUCUCAAACCCUAAACCAAUGACAUAUUUAAAACAAGAGAGUUGGAUCGUUAAGUAUGCAUAUAUACAAGCUUAGUCUACUUUACGCAUGUAAAUGGAUCGAAAUUACUUUUGAAUGAUGUCUAUCAUAUCUUGGUAAUCUUAUUGCGGUUUCUUCAUUGAGUCAUAGAUUACCAACUUACUUUCAGCAAGAUCGAUGACUAUGAGUAUCUAGUGAAAGAUGUUCAUAGAGACAUGAGUCGUAGAUUAGGGUUAAGUUGCAUGUUAACUAUAUAUGUAUAACUCACUUGAAGUUGUAGGGGAAGAGUAUUCUUUUUUUUUGUCUUUUUGGUUCACGAAGAACCUCAUAAGAUUCAUACACAUGUCAGUGAUCAAAGUCGCCGAAGGGUUUGGCUCCUUGAAAACAAUGUAAGGAUCAACAAAUCCAAGAGUAUUAUCAUUUUUGGAUCUGAACUAAGUCAUUUGGAGCCUACAUAUAGUGAGUCCAUUGACAAGUACGUGUGUAAGGAUUACUACUAUAUAGACAUGAUGGAGAGUUUAAUAAAAACAAAGAAAUACUUACAAAUAAAAGCAGCUAAUGAGUGAUUUGUCCAGAGCGUCCAUGUGGCAUAGCUGCUGUAAUUCGCUCAUCUGGACUCAGAUAAGGUCAUCACCAUGGAAGUAGUGAUGGUUUCAAAUUCGAACAGAAAUCCAAUCAACUCCACCUUUAGAAGCCUCCAUGCACCAUUUGUUGAUUGCAAACAUCUACGUACCGAGUACAUGUAGGUGCUUGGGGUUCAUUAGACUCCUACCCAGUGCAAAAUUUGUCCUCCAUUCAUCAACUACUUCCGCUCGUGGAAACUCUAGCCCAGCAGCAAUACUUUGAAUCGUGGAGUACGGGAGACCACUCUCAAUGAAAUAAUUUUCAAGUGACUCCAUCUCAGACGAAGUGGGCUCUCCAGAUUUCCUCUGUACUAUGCUCACAUUUGAACCAUACUGAUCUUCCACAAUUAGCGGGGACAAAGGUCUUGAUGUGUCCCCGAGCUGUGGAACACCCUUUCCUGCUUUCUUCUGGGCAGAUUGAGCUCUUACAACUUUAAUUAGUUGGCGGAGGCUUUCGAGCUUCGCGCAUUUUUCGGUUGUGCUCUUCCACCCUCUUCCUCAGCUCCCCUUUUGGUAAGUAGAGGUAUGGCUUUUUAGGGUUCCGCUUCGCUUCAAAUUCCUUUUUACAUUUUUCAAAGUGUGCUUUCACAUCAGAAGCAACCGAUGCAAUUAUCUCCUCGUCAGUCUUCUCAUAAGGCAACGUUUCACUGGCUGCUUUAGAGCCAGAGGGAGCCUGAGCCUCCUUCUUUCUAGGAUGUGGGACCGAAGCCUUUGGUGCUGGGGCGGACCUCUUCUUACUGUCUUGAGGAAGUGGUGGUGGCGGGGACGGUGCGGUCCGUGGCGGCGUUGGAGACCGUGUUCGAGGCGGUGGUGAAGGCGGUGGCAGGGUGGGUGCGGCCCGUGGCGGUGUUGGAGACCGUCGUGGAUGAGAUGGGGUUGUAGUCAUGUCCUCCAAUGCAUCUUCACCGCUCACAACACUAUGAUGCGCUGGGGAAUGAAUACUUGGACUGAAGACCCUACUAGGAAAACAACGAGUGUUGUGAGCGAAUAAAUUGUUUUGAAUAGGAUGUUAGCAAAUAAAUUAAAUUUUUUUUGAAUCCAUGCGCCUAUGCUAAGGAUCCUGAUCAUCAGUAAGACGAGGUGGUUGUUGACGGUCCUUAAGUAUCAAAUAUAAUCAACAAAUAAACAAAGAAAAGGAUCCAAAUGCAAUCGACACCCAGACUUAGGGUUUUAUCUGACAAAAUUCCACGAGUUUUGGUGUUUGUCUAUUUCUGCAGGGGGUUAUCAGAAAUUAUGGAAGAAAGGGCCACACGUCGGGUUUACAUAGAGAUAUUAACGUGCACCGCAAUUAUCCAAAAUCUAGAAGAGUCCAGAAGCCACGGGAACGAACGGGAGGCCGAGCGGACCCAGGGGCAGGGCGCCCGCCCUCCCCCCUUGGGCGCCCACCCUGGUCUAAGGACCAAUCACGUUCUACCUCGCGGAUCAUGCUCCAUCGACCUAAAGGAUCAAGGAAAACCGUGCGAUUAAUGUCGGUUUGAUCAAACGGCCCAUAUUCAUUUGGAUGGACUAUAAAAGUAGACCCCCUGGCCCCUGGAGGAGAGCACAUCUGAAACCUUAAUUCAUUUAUCCAUCUCGGGAGAAGAAGCCUCUGAUCAAGCCCUAGAGCCACCACAUCAAUAGAUCUCUAGUUUAGCAUAGCUACAUAGGAUUAGAACUAGAAGGAGUUAAUCUUCGAUUGGUUUCCGGAUCUGUCAAGAGGAUUCCUGGUUUCAUAUACAUGUUUAGGAUUGUAUCACGUUUAUCCAUGUGUACAGUGAGUAUAUGAUAAGUAUUGUGUAGGCGUGGUGCCUAUACCGUAUUUAUCUACGAUUGUACCCUAUAUGCCGGAUCGCGGGGUAGUUCGUGGUGGUGACAGCUCCAUUGAUUCUUAUAUAGUCCCCCUCUCAUGUAUAGGGCAGGCAGAGCAACAUUAUUACAUGGGAGUGAUUGUUAUGUUUCUCAUUUUCCUUGAUAAUAUCACUAUGCAUGGGCGUAGUCCUGUUUUGCAAUGAUUGCCAAGUAUAAUUGCACUAACUAUGAUAUGCUAGAUUUUAUAGUUAAGAAUAACUUAGGGAAUAUUCUUGUAGUUCAUCCUAAUUCCAUGCUAAUGACUUGCUAGAAUAUCUAUUGAGGUGCUUAUCAUUAUUAUAUGUGGCUAAUUAUGCUGAUCAGAUUAAUUAUCUUUGUCACCAUUCAUACUUUAUCUAUAUUUUAUGUGACAUUUAUCCCUGUAUGAAAGAGAUAGAUAAGUGCUCUCAAUUAUACAUGCAAUGAUAGAUACUCAAUUCUACAUUCCAUUCUAUAAUCAACAUUGAUGAUUAGAAAUCCCUUCCCAAUGGUAAAAAUAUAAAUAACGAUACCUGGAAUAUUUCCCGGUUAAAAUGCUACAUCGGUAUUAAUAUGUGCGCUUGCAGAUCUCAUUUAUUAUUCAUUCAGAAGAGCAAUUGCAUAUUUCAAUACCGCGUCUCUCAUGUCAUGCUGGGGAUGACAACUUGGCUUAAGUGGCAUGAGGGAUAGGUUCGGCAUUUUUGGCACCAUUAUCAGAAUUAGAAAAUUAAGUCUACUUUUGGUAAUGACGUUAAGAAUGCCCAACAAGCAUUUUUGGCGCCAUUGCCGGGGAAGGUUGAUUACUAAUCAGGAAUGAAUAUGAAAUUUUGAGUCAUCAUUCGCAUCACUAAUAUGAUUGAGAUUAUCAAUUCUCUCAUACAGUUUUACCCUGGUAUUUUUCUAUUUUAUUUUAUGCAGGGUGAUGUAUGAAUAGAAGAUAUCUUCCUAGAAAUUUUGCUGACAAUCCCGAAGCGUUAUUCAGAAAAACAAGAGCCAAGCUCAAGAAGAGAUCAUCAACACUUCAGCACGAAGCUUCAUCCAAUCAAGAAGAUCGCUGAAGUUUCACCCAGAACAUGUCUUCAGAAUUCGAAGUCAUGGCGAACAAAUCGAUCCGUGAGUUCUCAGCUCCCACUACGGACAACAUCCGUACUGGACCUGCUGCAGAGAUCGACGGCAACUUUGAGCUUAAGCCUGGACUUAUCAACAUGGUGUAAUCCAACCAGUUCUGUGGGAAGGCACACGAAGAUGCUAGUGCUCAUCUCCAACACUUCCUGAAGAUUUGCAGCACAUUCACCAUAUCAGGAGUCCCUAGAGAUGCUAUACUACUUCGCCUGUUCCCAUUCUCACUGUUAGGGAGAGCGAAGCAGUGGUUCUACGCUAUAAAGGAGAAGAAUACUACGUGGGCACUCUGCUCCACGAACUUUCUGGUUAAGUUCUUUUCCAUGGGCAAGACCAAUGCUCUCAGUGGGAAGAUUACAAGUUUUCAGCAACAACAUGAUGAAUCCGUUCUAGAAGCAUGGGAGCGCUUCCAAGACUACAUCCUAAAAUGUCCCCAUCAUGGAAUGGAGAGCUGGCUAUUGAUGCAGACGUUUUAUCAUGGGCUCGGCAACAGUGCCCAUGAGACCAUGGAUGCUGCAGCUGGAGGAGCAUUCCUAUCACUCACCAUACCACAAGCCACAGCUCUUGUGGAAAAGAUGGCGUCCAACGAAGGCUGGAAUGAAGAGAGGUGGAGGUAUGCAUCAGCUCAAGGAGGUAGACAUGUUGUCUGCCAAGCUAGACCUGCUCAUGAAGAAGCUCGAUGAUAGAGCUAGAGAUAAGAAAGAAGUUAUGCACAUCUACGACUCUCACAUGACUUGUGAGGAGUGUGGAGAUACUGUACACUCAUGUAAUCACUGCCCUAAGAUGCUUGAGGACAUGAACUACAUCAUCAUCAACAACAAUAACAACAACUAUUACAACCGUCCUUAACAAAAUCAAGGUUGGAAUCAACAGAGGCCUAACUACUCAAGUAAUUAUCAAGGUAAUAAUUCUUACAAUAAUAAUAGUAAUUUUCCACCUCUGAGAGAGUUAGUGUCUAAUCAAGGAAAGCUAAUGGAUAACCUAUCUAAGAAAUUGGCAUCUAAUGAUAAAAUAUUAGAAAAUAUAAAUAAUAGAAUGGAUAAUUUCUCUACUGCCAUCAAGAAUCAACUUAGCUUUAAUAAAAUGAUUGAAUCUCAAUUAAAUCAAAUAGUUGCUGCUGUUCCUGCUACUAACCCCGGUAUACCAUCACAACCGGAAGGAUUAGAAUCUGCAAAUCUUGUAGACAUGUUUGAUACAGGUAACUACUGGAGUAACCCCGUUGCAGAAGUUACUACUGACCUUCUGCCGGUCAAGAGAGGCGAUCCAGGACGCCCCAUCAUCCUGAUUUCCAUCGGCAUGGUGGACUUCUCAGAAGCACUCUGCGAUUUUGGCUCUAGUGUCAACAUUAUGCCCAGGGUACUCUAUGAAAAAUUCUUUACAUAUCCUUUACUAGAAACAACCAUGUGUUUGCAGUUUGUAGAUCAAGCGUUAAGUUUCCCAAAGGGAAUUUUGAAGAACCUCUGCGUCCGAGUUGGUACCUUGUACGCCCCAGCAGACUUCGUGGUGAUAGAGACCCGUAAUGAUGAGAGAGCACCCGUCAUCUUAGGGAGGCCAUUCCUGAGCACCUCGGGAGCUGUCAUCUACGCUAGUGCUGCCAAGAUUAGUUUCUACAUCAAAGGGAGGAAGGAGACGUUUUUCUUCAAGAACAAGACUACACAAAUCCCAGAGCAAUCCCGACAUGAACCAAGGAAGAAGACCAACAGGAGAAACAGGACAAGCAAGUGUGGACCGAAUCAGCUAAGAUGGUCACUACAGUUCAAGGAGGUCAAGAUCACCGACUUAAGUCACCGUUUCUGACCAAAAAGGACGACCCAGGUAUGCCAAGCAUCCACUGCUCCAUUAAUGGAUACAACUUCUACAAGACGAUUUGCGACACCGGAUCGGGCGUCAACAUAAUGGCCGCAGUCACCUAUCGGCUCUUGUUCGGAACCAUGCCCCUAAAACCGACAUACAUUCAGCUCCAGAUGGCAGAUCAGACAUUCCAAAAUGUUGAAGGUAUAGUAACUGAUGUCCCUGUCAAAAUAGACGAUCAUUUUGUCCAUAUAGACUUUCAGGUUAUUGACAUGGGAGAAGACGAGUACGAUCCACCCAUCAUCCUUGGGAGACCGUUCCUCAGCACCAUUAAAGCAAUCAUCUACAUUGGAACCGGAGAAGUCCACAUGCACUUCCCCUCUGAGAAGGUACGCCGCUAUUUUACUAACCCUAACUAUAUAGUUGAAGACUCUAAGCAGGUCAGGACAAGAAGAAGACGACGCAACCGCAACCAGAGGAGGCAAAUCAUCAAAGACGGAUGGGCAGACUACGAAGGAGAAGUGGUAAGGUCUGAAGACAUACAGCUUGAAGAGAACUAUCCUAAGGAGACCGUAGCACCGAGUCAGGUGUGGAGAGAGAAGAUAGUUAUACACGAAGAGGAGGCGCCGCCGGAACCACCGACUACGCCAUCCGACGAAUCCCAGGACGACUGAGAAAACAGAGAGUCCCAUUCGGAGGACUUAAAAAACACCGGACGCCUUGCCAAGAGGUAAACUUGGUAAUUAUCCUUUUCCUUUCAAUUAUUUCAAAUCGUUUGCUUAGUCAAUCAUGUUUAUACUAUCCUAAAAAGAAAAUAAAAAUGUUAAAAAUAGUAAGCCCCAUGUGAGUAUACAAGUGGCAUAAAACCCAUAAGUACAUUCACUGUGGUGGCAUAAAUAUAAAAUAAAUAUUUUUUCUGUUUAUGAAAAUGAAAAUAAAAAAAAUAAGAUUGUGAUCCUACCAAAGAGAGUAACAUAUAUUGAGGAGGCUCAACAUGAUAAAGGCUAGAUAUUUAUGCUAACACUUAAUCAAUUCCACAAAGCUUUGUUGUCUAUUUGAGCUCCUCAGAAUUCAAGGAUCAAGAAGACUAGCAGACGGAGGACAUCCUAAUCGCUGUCAGAGUGCUGCCGACUUUCAAAUACACCUCUACCACCUGCUAGCUACAUCAGAAGAAAUUACAUCAAAAUUCAGUUUGGGGGAGAGCACCCCCAUUUAUCACAUGAAAAUCUUUAAAAUAUCGCAUGAUGAGUUCCUGUAUGAUGAGAGUUUAAAUUCCUACCACAGCCAUAUAUAUACAUGCUUGCUAGACUUUGAGCUACACAUUUACUUUUUACUGCUUAUGAGCAUUGAGUGUGGUCAAGCUGUGUAGACCCUUAGGAGCUUGUCAUGUGGUUAAAUCAAGAUUCACUUGCACGUUCACUCACACAUGCAACUUCUACUUCGGAAGUACGCAUCCACAUAUAUCCACUCAUUUCCAUCUCCAGAGCCACCCAAAAGUAUUCUACUCCUAAUCCGGGAGAGAAUAGCCAAAAACACUCUCCUAUUUCUGUUUUUCCCCUGAGAAAUAAAUCCUCAAGUUAUCUUGGUUACUACCACUUGCUAUAUUAUUUCAGGAGAUGAGUGCUCUAAAAAAAGAGAAAAAAAUACGAGGAAAUAAGAGGGGCAAGUGCCCGGAACCUCGAAAGAAAAGAAAAAGUGAGACGAGAUGUAAAAACGGACAAGUGUCCGACAGUAGAAUUAGGGGUACAAGAUACCCACCUGAGAGGAAAGAAAAAGAGAAAUAUAGAGCAUCUCAUUCUCCUCAAAAAAGUUUCAAAACAGCAAGAAAUGUAUGUAUCCCCUCAAAAGAGCACAAGUAGAAUUAGACUUUCACCAUUGUUAUCACCAUCAUCACCAUACACCAUUCAUUCGCCACACAUGCACAUCUUGAUUUGACUUAUUGACUUGUUUCUCUGGAUCCAUGGUUUGACUAUACAAUAAAUGUCUUGUAAGUAUGUAUACUUUAUCUCCCACCUAUGAGCUCCCGAUAUCAAAAGCCUUAUUAGAGUAGGAUGAGAGAGAAGGCAAUGUCACUAUGCCUUAUACCACAAAUACCACAUACUUUGAGAGAGAAGGCAUGUACCAUCACUGCUUUGGUAAGGAUCUAGAAAUACCACAAAAGAGAGAUCUAAGAGAGUCAUACAAGGAAUCUCUGAGUUUUAUUUGAAAAUCUGCAAAAACUCCAGAGCUAUAGCUGAUCAAGAAUAAGAGACAUGACACUUGACUAGACCGUUCUAUCUUUUAACUGCUCGAGACAGAAGUGACGGUUACAAGUCCCAUGGUAAAAGGUAAAAUGAGUAAGUUUUAAGUCUUGACGGUUUACUCUAACUCAGCGAUGAGACCU